Molecule: long non-coding RNA, 44871 nt
Filed under: Triticum aestivum (bread wheat)
Lineage: Eukaryota; Viridiplantae; Streptophyta; Magnoliopsida; Poales; Poaceae
Description: long non-coding RNA (TAES_LNC025056)
Rfam family: MIR1120/MIR1122 microRNA precursor family (bases 24572-24658)
Source: RNAcentral
GCGAGGCUAGUCAAACCUAGCAGGUGGAGGCCAUUGAACGAGAGCGUGUAGCACUUGAAGGCGGAUCUUUUGUGUAACACAGAUUGAUGGCUUAUCUGCCUACCACAGACACUGAACCUGUCAAAGAUAGCUGGACCAUCAUUUUCCCUCCUAACGUAAAUGCUGUAGCGCACAGGAGAUGACAUCUUGAUUAUGUGAAACUUUGAUGUUGAACUUGGUAUCCAUGUUGUACUUUUGAAAAUGUUUUAACAUGGUGCAAAUUUAACUUAAAUAGCAGACGGAGUAUGGUACAUACAUCCCUAGGCUGACAUGUUGUGAAAGCAUUUCUACUUCUUUUAUGAUGGAUGAUGAAAAUUUUGUUUGACUGAAAAACUCUUAUAGAAGAAAGCAUAUGUAUGCUGCUAUCAUUCUGCCCGCAUCAUCACCAAAUGGCAACGCAGCUCCAUCACACCAUUUUGCUGGCUGUAGUCAAAUACUCCCUCCGUUUUUUAUUUACUCCCCAUAUUAGCUUUGAUUGAAGUCAAACUUUAUAAGGUUUGUAGAAAACAAUAUGAAUAUUUACAAUAACAAAUUUGUAUGAUGUGAAAAUAUAUGCAAUGAUGAAUCCGAUGGUAUUGAUUUGGUAGUUAAUAUACUAUUUUUCUACAAACUUGUUGAAAGUAUACAAAGUUUGACUUUAGACAAACCUAAUAUACGGAGUAAAUAAAAACAGAGAGAGUAUUAUUUCGCCUUGAAGACACAAAAGGAGAUAUAAUAAAUACAUCAGUUUCGUUCACAACAAUGGAGCCAAAGUUACAACACACGUCUACAUAAUGUAUAUCAAUAGGGUUUGAAUCAAUAGAGCAACAAUAUACUGAACUGAUGAUAUGGACACAAAGGGAACAUCAAGCACACUAUUAAACCGGCACGCAGGCCGCCGAGUUAGUUUUGGGCAAGCACACUAUUACCGACAGGAAACGCUGACAUGGUAGCAUUGUUCUCCUGGCCCGUGGCGUCCACCCUCAGGCGUCAUGUGAAAGAAAUAUGCCCUAAGAGGCAAUAAUAAAAUUAUUAUUUUUUUCCUUAUAUCAUGAUAAAUGUUUAUUAUUCAUGCUAGAAUUGUAUUAACCGGAAACAUAAUACAUGUGUGAAUACAUAGACAAACAGAUUGUCACUAGUAUGCCUCUACUUGACUAGCUCGUUGAUCAAAGAUGGUUAUGUUUCAUAACCAUAGAUAUGAGUUGUCAUUUGAUUAACGGGGUCACAUCAUUAGGAGAAUGAUGUGAUUGACUGGACCCAUUCCGUUAGCUUAGCACACGAUCGUUUUAGUAAUAUGCUAUUGCUUUCUUCAUGACUUAUACAUGUUCCUAUGACUAUGAGAUUAUGCAACUCCCGUUUACCGGAGGAACACUUUGUGUGCUACCAAACGUCAGAACGUAACUGGGUGAUUAUAAAGGUGGUCUACAGGUGUCUCCAAAGGUACUUGUUGGGUUGGCAUAUUUCGAGAUUAGGAUUUGUCACUCCGAAUAUCAGAGAGGUAUCUCUGGGCCCUCUCGGUAAUGCACACCACUUAAGCCUUGCAAGCAUUGCUACUAAUGAGUUAGUUGCGGGAUGAUGUAUUACAAAACGAGUAAAGAGACUUGCCGGUAACGAGAUUGAACUAGGUAUUGAGAUACCGACGAUCGAAUCUCGGGCAAGUAACAUACCGAUGACAAAGGGAACAACGUAUGUUGUUAUGCGGUUUGACCGGUAAAGAUCUUCGUAGAAUAUGUGGGAGCCAAUAUGAACAACCAGGUUUCACUAUUGGUUAUUGACCGGAGACACGUCUCGGUCAUGUCUACAUAGUUCUCGAACCCGUAGGGUCCGCACGCUUAAAGUUUCGAUGACGGUUAUAUUAUGAGUUUAUAUGUUUUGAUGUACCGAAGGUUGUUCGGAGUCUCGGAUGUGAUCCCGGACAUGACGAGGAGUCUCGAAAUGGUCGAGACAUGAAGAUUGAUAUAUUGGAAGCCUAUGUUUGUGUUGGGGAACGUAGUAAUUUCAAAAAUUUCCUAUGCACACGCAAGAUCAUGGUGAUGCAUAGCAAUGAGAGGGGAGAGUGUUGUCUAUGUACCCUCGUAGACCGGAAACGGAAGUGUUAGCACAACACAGUUAAUGUAGUCGUACGUCUUCACGGCCCGACCGAUCAAGCACCAAAACUACGGCACCUCCGAGUUUUAGCACACGUUCAGCUCGAUGAUGAUCCCCGGACUCCGAUCUAGCAAAGUGUCGGGGAUGAGUUCGGUCAGCACGACAGUGUGGUGACGAUCUUGAUGUUUUACCGUCGCAGGGCUUCGCCUAAGCACCGCUACAAUAUUAUCGAGGACUAUGGUGGAGGGGGGCACCGCACACGGCUAAGAGAUCAAUGAUCAACUGUUGUGUCUCUGGGGUGCCCCCUGCCCCCGUAUAUAAAGGAGUGGAGGAGGGGGCCGACCAAGGAGGGUGGCGCGCCCUAAGGGGGAGUCCAACUCCCACAGGGAGUAGGACUCCCCUUUUUCCUAUUAGGAGUAGGAGAGGGAAGGAAGAGGAAGGAGGGAGGAAGGAAAGGGGGGCCGGCCCCCUCCCAAUUCGGAUUGGGCUUGGGGGGGGGGGCGCCCCCUCCCUUGCUCCUUUCCCCUCCUUUCCACUAAGGCCCAAUAAGGCCCAUAUACCUCCCGGGGGGUUCCGAUAACCUCCAAGUGAUCCGGUAUUGUCCCAAUCUCACCUGGAACCUUCCCGAUGUCCAAAUAUAGUCGUCCAAUAUAUCGAUCUUUAUGUCUCGACCAUUUCGAGACUCCUCGUCAACUCCGUGAUCACAUCUGGGACUCCGAACAACCUUAAGUACAUCAAAAUAUAUAAACUCAUAAUGAAACUGUCAUCGUAACGUUAAGCGUGCGGACCCUACGGGUUCGAGAACAAUGUAGACAUGAUCGAGACACGUCUCCGGUCAAUAACCAAUAGCAGAACCUGGAUGCUCAUAUUUGCUCCUACAUAUUCUACGAAGAUCUUUAUCGGUCAGACCGCAUAACAACAUACUUUGUUCCCUUUGUCAUAGGUAUGUUACUUGCCCGAGAUUCGAUCGUCGGUAUCUCAAUACCUAGUUCAAUCUAGUUACCGGCAAGUCUCUUUACUCGUUCUGUAAUACAUCAUCUUGCAACUAACUUAUUAGUUGCAUUGCUUGCAAGGCUUAAGUGAUGUGCAUUACCGAGAGGGCCCAGAGAUACCUCUCCGACAAUCGGAGUGACAAAUCCUAAUCUCGAAAUACGCCAACCCAACAUGUACCUUUGGAGACACCUGUAGAGCACCUUUAUAAUCACCCAGUUAAGUUGUGACGUUUGGUAGCACACAAAGUGUUCCUCCGGUAAACGGGAGUUGCAUAAUCUCAUAGUCAUAGGAACAUGUAUAAGUCAUAAAGAAAGCAAUAGCAACAUACUAAACGAUCGGGUGCUAAGCUAAUGGAAUGGGUCAUGUCAAUCAUAUCAUUCUCCUAAUGAUGUGAUCCCAUUAAUCAAAUGACAACUCAUGUCUGUGGUUAGGAAACAUAAACAUCUUCGAUUAACGAGCUAGUCAAAUAGAGGCAUACUAGUGACACUCUGUUUGUCUAUGUAUUCACACAUGUAUUAUGUUUCCGGUUAAUACAAUUCUAGCAUGAAUAAUAAACAUUUAUCAUGAUAUAAGGAAAUAAAUAAUAACUUUAUUAUUGCUUCUAGGGCAUAUUUCCUUCAGUCUCCCACUUGCACUAGAGUCAAUAAUCUAGAUUACACAGUAAUGAUUCUAACACCCAUGGAGCCUUGGUGUUGAUCAUGUUUUGCUCGUGGAAGAGGCUUAGUCAAUGAGUCUGCUACAUUCAGAUCCGUAUGUAUCUUGCAAAUCUCUAUGUCUCCCACCUGGACUAGAUCCUGGAUGGAAUUGAAGCGUCUCUUGAUGUGCUUGGUUCUCUUGUGAAAUCUGGAUUCCUUUGCCAAGGCAAUUGCACUAGUAUUGUCACAAAAGAUUUUCAUUGGACCUGAUGCACUAGGUAUGACACCUAGAUCGGAUAUGAACUCCUUCAUCCAGACUCCUUCGUUUGCUGCUUCCGAAGCAGCUAUGUACUCUGCUUCACAUGUAGAUCCCGCCACGACGCUUUGUUUAGAACUGCACCAACUGACAGCUCCACCGUUUAAUAUAAAUACGUAUCCGGUUUGCGAUUUAGAAUCGUCCGGAUCAGUGUCAAAGCUUGCAUCAACAUAACCAUUUACGAUGAGCUCUUUGUCACCUCCAUAUACGAGAAACAUAUCCUUAGUCCUUUUCAGGUAUUUCAGGAUGUUCUUGACCGCUGUCCAGUGAUCCACUCCUGGAUUACUUUGGUACCUCCCCGCUAGACUUAUAGCAAGGCACACAUCAGGUCUGGUACACAGCAUUGCAUACAUGAUAGAGCCUAUGGCUGAAGCAUAGGGAACAUUUUUCAUUUUCUUUCUAUCUUCUGCGGUGGUCGGGCAUUGAGUCUUACUCAACUUCACACCUUGUAACACAUGCAAGAAUCCUUUCUUUGCUUGAUCCAUUUUGAACUUCUUCAAAACUUUGUCAAGGUAUGUGCUUUGUGAAAGUCCAAUUAAGCGUCUUGAUCUAUCUCUAUAGAUCUUAAUGCCCAAUAUGUAAGCAGCUUCACCGAGGUCUUUCAUUGAAAAACUCUUAUUCAAGUAUCCCUUUAUGCUAUCCAGAAAUUCUAUAUCAUUUCCGAUUAGCAAUAUGUCAUCCACAUAUAAUAUCAGAAAUGCUACAGAGCCCCCACUCACUUUCUUGUAAAUACAGGCUUCUCCAAAAGUCUGUAUAUAAACCAAAUGCUUUGAACACACUAUCAAAGCGUUUAUUCCAACUCCGAGAGGCUUGCACCGGUCCAUAAAUGGAUCGCUGGAGCUUGCACACUUUGUUAGCUCCCUUUGGAUCUACAAAACCUUCCGGCUGCAUCAUAUACAACUCUUCUUCCAGAAAUUCAUUCAGGAAUGUAGUUUUGACAUCCAUCUGCCAAAUAAAAAUGCGGCAAUUGCUAACAUGAUUCGGAUAGACUUAAGCAUCACUACGGGUGAGAAGGUCUCAUCGUAGUCAAUCCCUUGAACUUGUCGAAAACCUUUUGCGACAAGUCAAGCUUUGUAGAUAGUAACAUUACCGUCAGCGUCAGUCUUCUUCUUGAAGAUCCAUUUAUUCUCAAUUGCUUGUCGACCAUUGGGCAAGUCAACCAAAGUACACACUUUGUUCUCAUACAUGGAUCCCAUCUCAGAUUUCAUGGCUUCAAGCCAUUUUGCGGAAUCUGGGCUCACCAUCGCUUCUUCAUAGUUCGUAGGUUCAUCAUGAUCUAGUAUCAUGACUUCUAGAACAUGAUUACCGUACCACUCUGGUGUGGAUCUUACUCUGGUUGAUCUACGAGGUUCAGUAGUAACUUGUUCUGAAGUUUCAUGAUCAUCAUCAUUAGCUUCCUCACUAAUUGGUGUAGGUGUCACAGAAACCGGUUUCUGUGAUGUACUACUUUCCAACAAGGAAGCAGGUACAGUUACCUCAUCAAGUUCUACUUUCCUCCCACUCACUUCUUUCGAGAGAAACUCCUUCUCUAGAAAGGAUCCAUUCUUAGCAACAAAUGUCUUGCCUUCGGAUCUGUGAUAGAAGGUGUACCCAACAGUCUCCUUUGGGUAUCCUAUGAAGACACAUUUCUCCGAUUUGGGUUCGAGCUUAUCAGGUUGAAGCUUUUUCACAUAAGCAUCGCAGCCCCAAACUUUCAGAAACGACAACUUUGGUUUCUUGCCAAACCAUAGUUCAUAAGGUGUCAUCUCAACGGAUUUUGAUAGUGCCCUAUUUAACGUGAAUGCGGCCGUCUCUAAAGCAUAAACCCCAAAACGAUAGCGGUAAAUUUGUAAGAGACAUCAUAGAUCGCACCAUAUCAAGUAAAGUACGAUUACGAUGUUCGGACACACCAUUACGCUGUGGUGUUCCGGGUGGCGUGAGUUGCGAAACUAUUCCGCAUUGUUUCAAAUGUAAACCAAACUCGUAACUCAAAUAUUCUCCUCCACGAUCAGAUCGUCGAAACUUUAUUUUCUUAUUACGAUGAUUUUCAACUUCACUCUGAAAUUCUUUGAACUUUUCAAAUGUUUCAGACUUAUGUUUCAUUAAGUAGAUAUACCCAUAUCUGCUUAAAUCAUCUAUGAAGGUGAGAAAAUAACGAUAUUCGCCACGAGCUUCAACAUUCAUUGGACCACAUACAUCUGUAUGUAUGAUUUCUAACAAAUCUGUUGCUCUCUCCAUAGUACCGGAGAACGGCAUUUUAGUCAUCUUGCCCAUGAGGCACGGUUCGCAAGUACCAAGUGAUUCAUAAUCAAGUGGUUCCAAAAGUCCAUCAGUAUGGAGUUUCUUCAUGCGCUUUACACCGAUAUGACCUAAACGGCAGUGCCACAAAUAAGUUGCACUAUCAUUAUUAACUCUGCAUCUUUUGGCUUUAACAUUAUGAAUAUGUGUAUCACUAUUAUCAAGAUUCAUCAAGAAUAGAUCACUCUUCAAGGGUGCAUGACCAUAAAAGAUAUUACUCAUAUAAAUAGAACAACAUUAUUCUCUGAUUUAAAUGAAUAACCGUCUCGCAUCAAACAAGAUCCAGAUAUAAUGUUUAUUCUCAACGCUGGCACCAAAUAACAAUUAUUUAGGUCUAAUACUAAUCCCGAUGGUAGAUUUAGAGGUAGCGUGCCGACCGCGAUCACAUCGACUUUGGAACCAUUUCCCACGCGCAUCGUCACCUCGUCCUUCGCCAGUGUUCGCUUAAUCCGUAGUCCCUGUUUCGAGUUGCAAAUAUUAGCAACAGAACCAGUAUCAAAUACCCAGGUGCUACUGCGAGAUCUAGUAAGGUACACAUCAAUAACAUGUAUAUCACAUAUACCUUUGUUCUCCUUGCCAUCCUUCUUAUCCGCCAAAUACUUGGGGCAGUUCCGCUUCCAGUGACCAGUCUGCUUGCAGUAGAAGCACUCAGUUUCAGGCUUAGGUCCAGACUUGGGUUUCUUCUCCUGAGCAGCAACUUGCUUGCUGUUCUUCUUGAAGUUCCCCUUCUUCUUCCCCUUGCCCUUUUUCUUGAAACUAGUGGUCUUGUUGACCAUCAACACUUGAUGCUCCUUCUUGAUUUCUACCUCCGCAACUUUUAGCAUUGCGAAGAGCUCGGGAAUUGUCUUAUUCAUCCCUUGCAUAUUAUAGUUCAUCUCGAAGCUCUUGUAGCUAGGUGGAAGUGAUUGGAGAAUUCUUUCAAUGACACAAUCAUCCGGAAGAUUAACUCCCAGUUGAAUUAAGUGAUUAUUAUACCCAGACAUUUUGAGUAUAUGCUCACCGACAGAACUGUUCUCCUCCAUCUUGCAGCUAUAGAACUUAUUGGAGACUUCAUAUCUCUCAAUCCGGGCAUUUGCUUGAAAUAUUAACUUCAACUCCUGGAACAUCUCAUAUGCUCCAUGACGUUCAAAAUGUCGUUGAAGUCCCGAUUCUAAGCCGUAAAGCAUGGCACACUGAACUAUCGAGUAGUCAUUAGCUUUGCUCCGCCAGACGUUCAUAACAUCUGGUGUUGCUCCAGCAGCAGGCCUGGCACCCAGCGGUGCUUCCAGGACGUAAUUCUUCUGUGCAGCAAUGAGGAUAAUCCUCAAGUUACGGACCCAGUCCGUAUAAUUGCUACCAUCAUCUUUCAACUUUGCUUUCUCAAGGAACGCAUUAAAAUCCAACGGAAUAACAACACGGGCCAUCUAUCUACAAUUAAACAUAAACAAGCAAGAUACUAUCAGGUACUAAGUUUAUGAUAAAUUUAAGUUUAAUUAAUCAUAUUACUUAAGAACUCCCACUUAGAAAGACAUCCCUCUAAUCUUUUAAGUGAUCACGUGAUCCAAAUCAACUAAACCAUAACCGAUCAUCACGUGAAAUGGAGUAGCUUUCAAUGGUGAACAUCACUAUGUUGAUCAUAUCUACUAUAUGAUUCACGCUCGACCUUUCGGUCUCAGUGUUCCGAGGCCAUAUCUGCAUAUGCUAGGCUCGUCAAGUUUAACCUGAGUAUUCUGCGUGUGCAAAACUGGCUUGCACCCGUUGUAGAUGGACGUAGAGCUUAUCACACCCGAUCAUCACGUGGUGUCUAGGCACGACGAACUUUGGCAACGGUGCAUACUCAGGGAGAACACUUUUAUCUUGAAAUUUAGUGAGAGAUCAUCUCAUAAUGCUACCAUCAAUCAAAGCAAGAUAAGAUGCAUAAAAGAUAAACAUCACAUGCAAUCAAUAUAAGUGAUAUGAUAUGGCCAUCAUCAUCUUGUGCUUGUGAUCUCCAUCUCCAAAGCAUCGUCAUGAUCACCAUCGUCACCGGCGCGACACCUUGAUCUCCAUCAUAGCAUCGUUGUCGUCUCGCCAAUCUUAUGCUUCCAUGACUAUCGCUACCGCUUAAUGAUAAAGUAAAGCAUUACAGCGUGAUUGCAUUGCAUACAAUAAAGCGACAACCAUAUGGCUCCUGCCAGUUGCCGAUAACUCGGUUACAAAACAUGAUCAUCUCAUACAAUAAAAUUUAGCAUCAUGUCUUGACCAUAUCACAUCACAACAUGCCCUGCAAAAACAAGUUAGACGUCCUCUACUUUGUUGUUGCAAGUUUUACGUGGCUGUUACGGGCUUAGCAAGAACCGUUCUUACCUACGCAUCAAAACCACAAUGAUAAUUUGUCAAGUUGGUGCUGUUUUAACCUUCGCAAGGGCCGGGCGUAGCCACACUCGGUUCAACUAAAGUUGGAGAAACUGACACCCGUCAGCCACCUGUGUGCAAAGCACGUCGGUAGAACCAGUCUCGUGUAAGCGUACGCGUAAUGUCGGUCCGGGCCGCUUCAUCCAACAAUACCGCCGAACCAAAGUAUGACAUGCUGGUAAGCAGUAUGACUUAUAUCGCCCAAAACUCACUUGUUUUCUACUCGUGCAUAACAUCAACGCAUAAAACCUAGGCUCGGAUACCACUGUUGGGGAACAUAGUAAUUUCAAAAUUUUCCUACGCACACGCAAGAUCAUGGUGAUGCAUAGCAAUGAGAGGGGAGAGUGUUGUCUACGUACCCUCGUAGACCGGAAGCGGAAGUGUUAGCACAACGCGGUUGAUGUAGUCGUACGUCUUCACGGCCCGACCGAUCAAGCACCGAAACUACGGCACCUCCGAGUUUUAGCACACGUUCAGCUUGAUGACGAUCCCCGGACUCCGAUCCAGCAAAGUGUCAGGGAUGAGUUCCGUCAGCACGACGGCGUGGUGACGAUCUUGAUGUUUUACCGUCGCAGGGCUUUGCCUAAGCACCGCUACAAUAUUAUCGAGGACUAUGGUGGAGGGGGGCACCGCACACGGCUAAGAGAUCAAUGAUCAACUGUUGUGUCUCCGGGGUGCCCCCUGCCCCCGUAUAUAAAGGAGUGGAGGAGGGGCCCGGCCAAGGAGGGUGGCGCACCCUAAGGCGGAGUCCAACUCCCACAGGGAGUAGGACUCCCCCUUUUCCUAUUAGGAGUAGGAGAGGGAAGGAAGAGGAAGGAGGGAGGAAGGAAAGGGGGGCCAGCCCCCCUCCCAAUUCGGAUUGGGCUUGGGGGGGGGCGCCCCCUCCCUUGCUCUUUUCCCCUCCUUUCCACUAAGGCCCAAUAAGGCCCAUAUACCUCCCGGGGGGUUCCGAUAACCUCCCGGUGAUCUGGUAUUGUCCCAAUCUCACCCGGAACCUUCCCGGUGUCCAAAUAUAGUCAUCCAAUAUAUCGAUAUUUAUGUCUCGACCAUUUCGAGACUCCUCGUCAACUCCGUGAUCACAUUCGGGACUCCGAACAACCUUCGGUACAUCAAAAAUAUAUAAACUCAUAAUGAAACUGUCAUCGUAACGUUAAGCGUGCGGACCCUACGGGUUCGAGAACAAUGUAGACAUGACCGAGACACGUCUCCGGUCAAUAACCAAUAGCGGAACCUGGAUGCUCAUAUUGGCUCCUACAUAUUCUACGAAGAUCUUUAUCGGUCAGACCGCAUAACAACAUACGUUUGUUCCCUUUGUCAUCGGUAUGUUACUUGCCCGAGAUUCGAUCGUCGGUAUCUCAAUACCUAGUUCAAUCUCGUUACCGGCAAGUCUCUUUACUCGUUCUGUAAUACAUCAUCUUGCAACUAACUUAUUAGUUGCAUUGCUUGCAAGGCUUAAGUGAUGUGCAUUACCGAGAGGGCCCAGAGAUACUUCUCCGACAAUCGAAGUGACAAAUCCUAAUCUCGAAAUACGCCAACCCAACAUGUACCUUUGGAGACACCUGUAGAGCACCUUUAUAAUCACCCAGUUACGUUGUGACGUUUGGUACCACACAAAGUGUUCCUCCGGUAAACGGGAGUUGCAUAAUCUCAUAGUCAUAGGAACAUGUAUAAGUCAUGAAGAAAGCAAUAGCAACAUACUAAACAAUCGGGUGCUAAGCUAAUGGAAUGGGUCAUGUCAAUCACAUCAUUCUCCUAAUGAUGUGAUCCCGUUAAUCAAAUGACAACUCAUGUCUAUGGUUAGGAAACAUAACCAUCUUCGAUUAACGAGCUAGUCAAGUAGAGGCAUACUAGUGACACUCUGUUUGUCUAUGUAUUCACACAUGUAUUAUGUUUCCGGUUAAUACAAUUCUAGCAUGAAUAAUAAACAUUUAUCAUGAUAUAAGGAAAUAAAUAAUAACUUUAUUAUUGCCUCUAGGGCAUAUUUCCUUCAGUUUGGAUAUCGGAAGUGUUCCGGAUGAAAUCGGGAUUUUACCGGAGUACCGGGAGGUUACCGGAACCCCCCAGGGACUUAAUGGGCCUUAGUGGGCCUAGGUGAAAGAGAGGAAAGGCGGCUAGGGCUGGGCCGCGCGCUCGUCCCCCCCCAGUCCGAAUAGGACAAGGAGAGGGGGCGGCGCCCCCCUUCCUUCUUCUCCUCCACUCCUUCCCCCCUCCCAAGUCCUAAUCCAACUAGGAAAGGGGGGAGUCCUACUCCCGGUGGGAGUAGGACUCCUUCUGGCGCGCCUCCUCCCUGGCCGGUCGCACCCCCCUUGCUCCUUUAUAUACGGGGGCAGGGGGCACCCCAUAGACACAACAAUUGAUUGUUUGAUCUUUUAGCCGUGUGCGGUGCCCCCCUCCAUCAUAGUCCACCUCGAUAUUACUGUAGCGGUGCUUAGGCGAAGCCCUGCGUCGGUAGAACAUCAACAUCGUCACCACGCCGUCGUGCUGACAAAGCUCUCCCUCAACACUCGGCUAGAUCGGAAUUCGAGGGACGUCAUCGGGAUGAACGUGUGCUGAACUCGGAGGUGCCGUACGUUCGGUACUUGAUCGGUCGGAUUGUGAAGACGUACGACUACAUCAACCUCUUUGUGCUAACGCUUCCACUUUCGGUCUACGAGGGUACGUGGACAACACUCUCCCCUCUCGUUGCUAUGCAUCACCAUGAUCUUGCGUGUGCGUAGGAAUUUUUUUGAAAUUACUACGUUCCUCAUCAUCAUGUGUGUGCCAUGGCAAGCACACGCGAUCUUCACUUCGCUUCUGUCUGAAGAAAAAGAAAAUCUCAUUCUACCUCUAUUCUUCAUCUGCACAAGAUAAUUUUUCAUUUUAUAGGAAAUGAGAUUUCAUUUUACUAAUUACAGGGAAACAACUCAUGCGAUACACCCCGCCUCGUGCGCCUCUGAGCAUUUUUCAGCAUGCGAGGAAAGUGAACAUGGCCAAAAUGUUUAAUGGACAAUGUGGAUUGUGGAGUAAGAUUGCUUAUCACGUGCUACUGACUAGAUAUCGAACAUGUCGAUGUUGAGUCGGAUUGUCCCCAGGACCCAGGUGAUUAACAACAUCAAGGAUGACUCUGGUGGUGGGCCAGCCCAUGUAGAUUUCACAUUUUAUUUCCCUUGGUUGAAUUAAAAACAAAAAAUCACAAAAGGCGAAGAAAUACGUGAAUUCAAAAAAGUUCAUGGAUUUUGAAAAAAGAUCAUGAAUUUGAAAAAAAGUUGACACGGAAACCAUCAUUGGGUGUCGUUUACACAGCCGCUGACACAGAGCUCACUCAAGGCAGGGCACCGUCGACACGGAACCCGUUCAAGAAAGGACGUUGUCUAUUCCACGACGGAACUCACCCAAGGCAAGAUAUCGUCUACACUACCGCCGACACGAAGCUCACGCUAGGCAGGGCGUCGUCUACACCAUCGCUGACAUAGAGCCUAUCGAAGGCGGGGUGACAUCUAGGUUGUCGCCGACAUGAUCCAUCGUUUGGGUGUCAUUUACAUCCGCUCUCCUAUUCACUUCACCACCACAACACCAUCGGCUACACUAAGCAUACCGAGAAGAAGAGAUCCGAGUGUACCAGCUUAAUUGGAGAUGGUAUGCAACAUCAACCCAUGGAAGCAAAUAAUCAAGAGCCAAAGUUACAAAGAGGCCUCAACUAUUCUAAUAUGUUAUUUCAGAUCUAAAUUAUAUAGAAGACAACACUGGAGGCACGGAUGUCACCGUUGGCAUUCUUGCAAAGAUGGACAAAGUGACUCUUCUGCAGGUUACAGAACGAUCAUAAACUUUGAUUGCUCCAAAUUUCGGGGUCUCCCUAGCCCAUGCCUCAGCUGCAACACAAACUUUCUAAUGCAACACAUUUCUUAUGUGCUUAGUUUGCUGCAUUACAUCAUUCAUUCACAGCAACACUAAUGCUCAAAUGGCGAUUUUCAGAUGGACGUGAAACUACCAAUGGACACAAUUGAGACUGUGAUGACCUUGCAAGUGAAGGGUGCAAAGCGAUCGCAACCUACAUCCGAGAGGUUAAGAACCGUUCCUUGUUCUCGGCCGCCCUUGCUCAAUUACAUCUCCAGACUUGUCGUCCUACCGUUGGACACACUGAAACCUUAUUGUUGUGUACAGCAUUGAUUUCCCAUUGUAUGGAACCUGAAUGCCGAUUGGUUGUGCUGUGAUGCUGAAGCAGGUGCUAUUGGAGAACACGAAGCAGCUGGAGUGUCAGCGAGGCUAGUUAAACCUAGCAGGUGGAGGCCAUUGAACGAGAGCGUGUAGCACUUGAAGGCGGAUCUUUUGUGUAACAUAGAUUGAUGGCUUAUCUACCUAGCACAGACACUGAACCUGUCAAAGAUAGCUGGACCAUCAUUUCCCCUCCUAACGUAAAUGUUGUGGCGCACAGGAGAUGACAUCUUGAUUAUGUGAAACUUUGAUGUUGAACUUGGUAUCCAUGUUGUACUUUUGAAAAUGUUUUAACAUGGUGCAAAUUUAACUUAAAUAGCAGACGGAGUAUAGUACAUACAUACCCAGCUUGACAUGUUGUGAAAGCAUUUCUACUUCUUUUAUGAUGGAUGAUGAAAAUUUUGUUUGACUGAAAAUCUCUUAUAGAAGAAAGCAUAUGUAUGCUGCUAUCAUUCUGCCUGCAUCAUCACCAAAUGGCAACGCAGCUCCAUCACACCAUUUUGCUGGCUGCAGUCAAAUACUCCCUCCGUUUUUUAUUUACUCCCCAUAUUAGCUUUGAUUGAAGUCAAACUUUAUAAGGUUUGUAGAAAACAAUAUGAAUAUUUACAAUAAAAAAUUUGUAUGAUGUGAAAAUAUAUGCAAUGAUGAAUCCGAUGGUAUUGAUUUGGUAGUUAAUAUACUAUUUUUCUACAAACUUGUUGAAAGUAUACAAAGUUUGACUUUAGACAAACCUAAUAUACGGAGUAAAUAAAAACAGAGAGAGUAUUAUUCUUUCUUGAAGACACAAAAGGAGCUAUAAUAAAUACAUCAGUUUCGUUCACAACAAUGGAGCCAAAGUUACAACAUGACACACGUCUACAUAAUUUAUAUCAAUAGGGUUUGAAUCAACAGAGGAACAAUAUACUGAACUGAUGAUAUGGACACAAAGGGAACAGCAAGCACACUAUUAAACCGGCACGCAAGCCGCCGAGUUAGUGUUGGGUAAGCACACUAUUACCGACAGGAAACGAUGACAUGGUAGCAUUGUUCUCCUGGCCCGUGGCAUCCACGCUAGUGUGUCACGUGAACUCCUCAGGCGUCAUGUGUGUGCCAUGGCAAGCACGCACGAUCAUCACUUCGUUUCUGUCCGAAGAAAAAGAAAAUCUUAUUCUACCUAUAUUCUUCAUCUGCGCAAGAUAAUUUUUCAUUUUAUAGGAAAUGAGGUUUCAUUUUACUAAUUAUAGGGAAACAACUCAUGCGAUACGCCCCGCCUCGUGCGCCUCUGAGCAUUUUUCAGCAUGCAAUGAAAGUGAACAUGGCCAAAAUGUUUAUUUCAAAUGGACAAUGUGGAUUGCGGAGUAUGAUUGCUUAUCGCGUGCUACUGACUGGAUAUCGAACAUGUCGAUGUUGAGUCGGAUUGUCCCCAGGACCCAGGUGAUUAACAAUAUGAAGGAUGACUCUGGUGGUGGGCCGGCCCAUGUAGAUUUCACAUUUUAUUUCCCCUGGUUGAAUUAAAAAAACAAAAAAUCACAAAAGGCGAAGAAAUACGUGAAUUCAAAAAAGUUCAUGGAUUUUGGAAAAAGAUCAUGAAUUUGUAAAAAAGUUGACACGAAAACCAUCAUUGGGUGUCGUUUACACAGUCGCCGACGCGGAGCUCACUCAAGGCAGGGCGCCAUCGACACGGAACCCGUUCAAGAAAGGACGUUGUCUAUUCCACGACGGAACUCGCCCAAGGCGAGAUAUCGUCUACACUAGCGCCGACACGAAGCUCACGCUAGGCAGGGCGUCGUCUACACCAUCGCUGACAUAGAGCCUAUCCAAGGCGGGGUGACGUCUAGGUUGUCGCCGACAUGAUCCAUCGUUUGGGUGUCAUUUACAUCCGCUCUCCUCUUCACUUCACCACCACAACACCAUCGGCUACACUAAGCAUACUGAGAAGAAUAGAUCCAAGUGUACCAGCUUAAUUGGAGAUGGUAUGCAACUUUAACCCAUGGACGCGAAUAAUCAAGAGCCAAAGUGACAAAGAGGCCUCAACCAUUCUAGUAUGUUAUUUCAGAUCUGAAUUAUAUAGAAGACAACGCUGGAGGCGCGGAUGUCACCGUUGGCAUUCUUGCAAAGAUGGCCAAAGUGACUCUUCUGCAGGUUACAGAACGAUCAUAAACUUUGAUUGCUCCAAAUUUCAGGGUCUCCCUAGCCCACGCCUCAUCUGCAACACAAACUUUCUGAUGCAACACAUUUCUUAUGUGCUUAGUUUGCUGCAUGACAUCAUUCAUUCACAGCAACACUAAUGCUCGAAUGGCGAUUUUCAGAUGGACACGAAACUACCAAUGGACACAUUUGAGACUAUGAUGGACCUUGCAAGUGAAGGGCGCAAAGCGAUCGCAACCUACAUCCGAGAGGUUAAGAACCGUUCCUUGUUCUCGGCCGCCCUUGCUCAAUUACAUCUCCAAACUUGUCGUCCUACCAUUGGACGCACUGAAACCUUAUUGUUGUGUACACCAAUGAUUUCCCAUUGUAUGGAACAUGAAUGCCGAUUGGUUGUGCUGUGCUGCUGAAGCAGGUGCUAUUGGAGAACAUGAAGCAUCUGGAGUGUCAGCGAGGCUAGUUAAACCUAGCAGGUGGAGGCCAUUGAACGAGAGCGUGUAGCACUUGAAGAUGGAUCUUUUGUGUAACACAGAUUGAUGGCUUAUCUGCCUACCACAGAUACUGAACCUGUCAAAGAUAGCUGGACCAUCAUUUUCCCUCCUAACGUAAAUGAUGUGGUGCACAGGAGAUGACAUCUUGAUUAUGUGAAACUUUGAUGUUGAACUUGGUAUCCAUGUUGUACUUUUGAAAAUGUUUUAACAUGGUGCAAAUUUAACUUAAAUAGCAGACGGAGUAUGGUACAUACAGCCCCAGGUUGACAUGUUGUGAAAGCAUUUCUACUUCUUUUAUGAUGGAUGAUGAAAAUUUUGUUUGACUGAAAAACUCUUAUAGAAGAAAGCAUAUGUAUGCUGCUAUCAUUCUGCCUGCAUAAUCACCAAAUGGCAACGCAGCUCCAUCACACCAUUUUGCUGGCUGUAGUCAAAUACUCCCUCCGUUUUUUAUUUACUCCCCAUAUUGGCUUUGAUUGAAGUCAAAUUUUAUAAGGUUUGUAGAAAAAAAUAUGAAUAUUUACAAUAACAAAUUUGUAUGAUGUGAAAACAUAUGCAAUGAUGAAUUUGAUGGAAUUGAUUUGGUAGUUAAUAUACUAUUUUUCUACAAACUUGUUGAAAGUAUACAAAGUUUGACUUUAGACAAACCUAAUAUACAAAGUAAAUAAAAGCAGAGAGAGUAUUAUUCUGCCUUGAAGACACAAAAGGAGCUAUAAUAAAUACAUUAGUUUCAUUCACAACAAUGGAGCCGAAGUUACAACAUGACACACGUCUACAUAAUGUAUAUCAAUAGGGUUUGAAUCAACAGAACAACAAUAUACUGAACUGAUGAUAUGGACACACAAAGGGAACAACAAGCACACUAUUAAACCGGCACGCAGGCCGCGGAGUUAGUUUUGGGCAAGCACACUAUUACCGACAGGAAACACUGACAUGGUAGCAUUGUUCUCCUGGCCCGUGGCGUCCAUGCUAGUGUGUCGCGUGAACUCCUCAGGCGUCAUGUGUGUGCCAUGGCAAGCACACACGAUCUUCACUUCGUUUCUGUUUGAAGAAAAAGAAAAUCUCAUUCUACCUAUAUUCUUCAUCUGCACAAGAUAAUUUUUCAUUUUAUAGGAAAUGAGGUUUCAUUUUACUAAUUAUAGGGAAACAACUCAUGCGAUACGCCCCACCUCGUGCGCCUCUGAGCAUUUUCCAGCAUGCGAGGAAAUUGAACAUGGCCAAAAUGUUUAUUUCAAAUGGACAAUGUGGAUUGUGGAGUAAGAUUGUUUAUCGCGUGCUACUGACUGGAUAUCGAACAUGUCGAUGUUGAGUCGGGUUGUCCCCAGGACCCAGGUGAUUAACAACAUCAAGGAUGACUCUGGUGGUGGGCCGGCCCAUGUAGAUUUCACAUUAUUUCCCCUGGUUGAAUUAAAAAAACAAAAAAUCACAAAAGGCGAAGAAAUACGUGAAUUCAAAAAAGUUCGUGGAUUUUGAAAAAAGAUCAUGAAUUUGAAAAAAAGUUGACACGGAAACCAUCAUUGGGUGUCGUUUACACAGCCGCUGACACAGAGCUCACUCAAGGCAGGGCGCCGUCGACACGGAACCCGUUCAAGAAAGGACAUUGUCUAUUCCACGACGGAACUCGCCCAAGGCGAGAUAUCGUCUACACUAGCGCCGACACGAAGCUCACGCUAGGCAGGGCGUCGUCUACACCAUCGCUGACAUAGAACCUAUCCAAGGCGGGGUGACGUCUAGGUUGUCGCCGACAUGAUCCAUCGUUUGGGGUGUCAUUUACAUCCGCUCUCCUCUUCACUUCACCACCACAACACCAUCGGCUACACUAAGCAUACUGAGAAGAAGAGAUCCGAGUGUACCAGCUUAAUUGGAGAUGGUAUGCAACUUCAACCCAUGGGCGCGAAUAAUCAAGAGCCUUUCAAGUCCCAGUGAACCAGAACACACGGUUGCCCAACUCACAUCGACCAUGGCCAUGGAGCUUAUUAAUUUGUUAAGGGACCGUGCUUUAUUUCUCCAAAAUACAAGUUUCCCUAUAUUUUAUUUGGGCACUUAAGUACACUAAAACGCCUACAUUAUUUUAUUUUGUGUUCGUGUCAAACACCAGUAUUUGCAUUGUUCGAUUUCAUGUACUCCCUUUGUUCAUAAAUAUAAGGUGUUCUAACUUUUUCUAAACUGGAUAUAUCUAGAUACGUUUCAGUGUGUUGGUUCAUUCAUUUCAGUCUACGUGUAGUUCCUUGCUCAAAUAUCCAAAACAUGUUAUAUUUGUAAAUGAAGGGAGUAAGAAUUAGCCAUGACGAGGUUUCUCUUUUGGACCAAAAGACGGACCAUGAGUAUUGUCAGCCUGCAUGCACCUCCGUUCUGUAACACUGCCUCGUCGUCCACUUUGCGGUUAAGGGCAUUUCCAGCCGUUGGCCUCUCAGGAGGGGCAAAAAAUCGCCCCCGGGGACGCACUGGCGCUAAAUCGCGCACAUGCCUCCCAGUCGCGGCCCCCCACGGGUUUUUAAAAUGUUUAAAUUCGGCGCAAACACAACGCAAAUACGGGCGAGUUCGUUCAAAUUUAAACAUAUUUUACAAAAAAAAGAAAAAAACUACCGCGGGCUACCCCGCCGUCUCCCUCGCCGCCCGCCCACGCGGUUCUACAUGCCGAGGAGGCUGUAGAACCGCGUGUAGUCACCGCCGUCGUCGUCGUCGUCGCCCCGCCUACGCCGCCGCCCUCCCUGCUGCAUCCUUCCCCCAGUUGGCGCGGCGGGUUGGACGGUCCGGGGGCGUCGUCGUCGUCGCUAUCGAGGACGACGACACCGUCCUCGUCCUCGCGCCCACGUUUGCGGGCGGCGAUCUCCUCCAGGGCCCGGCGCUGCCGGAUCAUCUCCUCGCGCAGGUAGUCGUCGCGCGGCCACCGCAUGGCGUCCUCGUCGGAGAAGCUGCGCCGGGCUAUCUCUUCGUACUCCGGGGGGAGGCUGGACUCCACCUUGGGCUCGACGAGGGCGCCGGAGCUGCGGGUACGCGCGCUGACAGGCGUGUCCUGGGGCUCCGGCUUGACGGGGCGGAGGUGGAGGCAGGGAGAGCCGCCGGACGAGGAGGAGGACACCGGUCUCCAUGCGCUUCGGCGUUCAGGAGCUUCCCCGGCGGCGUGAGAAGGACGGGGGAGCGGGGUACUCGAGGCGCGGCGUGUUGCCGCCCUCGAUGUACUCGAGGACGGACUCCAACGUGCGCCCGGGCACGCCCCACCACCGACACCGCCGGCGGCGUUGAACCUGCCGGAGGGCACGACGCCGUUGGUGGCCUCGAGCUGCUCGUCGUGCCGGCGGCGGAAGUACGGCUCCUAGAUUGGGCUGUCGGGGACGUAUCGGGGCCCCUCCCUCACCGCACGCGGCAGGGACGAGCGGAUGCAUGCGAUCUCCGCACGCCGCGCCGCGCCGGUGGGUACCGGGGGCACUGGCACGCCGGCGGCGCUGAUCCUCCACGCCCCCGGGCACCCGCAUGUCCGGCGGGACCGGGUACUCGGCCUCGAAAAGGAGGCGAGCCUCGUCCUCGUGCAGAUGACGACGCCCGAAUCCGUUCGCCGCCGCGCCGUUGCCUGGGAAACGCUCGGCCAUGCUUUCUCAACUGGUGACAGCGAGAGGAGGAAAGGGGGAGAAAUGAGUGCGUCGUCGGUGGAUGAUCGGGGUGAGUCUCUCCGGCGCGCUUGCAGUCGGCUUUUAUAGGCGGAGACGCCGCGCGGUAGGCUUGGCCGGCGCGUUACGCGUUGCGUGAUUGCGUGGCGGCCGAGGGACGCGUCGCCCAGCCUUCACUGCGCCGCCCAUGAGGCAUCAAUGGAGGCUGACCGGCGCGGCAGCUUUGGCAUUGAUUCGCCGCGGGAAACGAGGCGAUGAGGACGACGAAGGGGCGAGAAGAGAGUAGAGUCGUUGACGCGGUGGGCCCGCGGCUCUUCGCGCCAAAAACGAUUCGCCCGGCGCCCCCGAGCGACCCCCAGCGCACCGGGUUCGGGUUGGGUCCGCCGGCGCCAAUUUCGGUCCGAGCCGGCGAAAACUGGGCUCUUGGGGGUGCGACUGGGCCAAUUUUUUGGCGCCGGCGGACGAAAAAACUCCUGGGGGGCCUGCAACAGGCUGCACUUGACGUCGGACCGCUUGCUCUCUCUCUCUUCUCUGUUGGGAGGCCAGGAGCUAUCUGCUCUGAGUCUCUAUUCUAGUCUCUAGAGUACUCCUACUCCUCCUCCUCCCCCUACUACUACUACUACUACUACUACUACUACUACUACUACUACUACUACUACUACUACUACUACUACUACUACUACUACUACUACUACUACUCCCUCCAGUCCUUUUUACUCUGCAUAUAAGAAUUGUCUCAAGUCAAACUUCGUCAAGUUUGACCAUAUUUAUAUGAAAAAAUAUUAACAUCUAUAAUGUUAAAUUUAUACAAUAUGAAAAGUAAAGUCAUGAUGCAUCUAAUGUUGUUGUUUUCACAUUCUAAAUAUUUAUAUUUUUUUAUAAACUUGGUCAAAGUUUACGAGGUUUGACUUCAGACAAAUUUUAUAUGCGAACUAAAAAGGACCGGAGGGAGUACUAUCUUUCCCUAAUAUAUAUUAUAUAUAUUAUUCAUUAAUUUAAUAAUAAAGCACGGAUUGACUCCGUGGAUUCAUCGUCACAAUACGCUUUUUCCUGUGAUUUUACGCUUUUAAUUUAAAUUUAAAACAUAUUCGAGGUGGUACUAAGUUUUGUGCGUCAAGGUGUUUUUACAAAAAGAUCCAUGUGGUUUUUAUUAUGAAUUAACCCGCAGUCAUUUUUUUCAUCCGUUCCACCCGUCACGGGAAAAUCCCCGCAUGUAUGAACCCACCUCGCUCACCGAGAGCGAGUUCUACCGAUUUAUAUAGGUUUCUAUGUAAUCUGCAACAUCAAGCAAAGCCGUACGGGAAUCAGCAAACAACAGCGAUCUAAGAUAAGAGAUAGAGAUUUGGGGAUCGGGGUACGUAUGGUUCGAUCGGUGUUGGCCUAUGCUUCCGGCCUUACUGGGCUGGUCAGGUGGGCCUAAGCUUCCGGCCUUGCUGGGCUGCGCGAGCUCCCUCUACUAGAAAAUAAAUAGAGAGGAAAUCUUACAAGGGAAAUAUUUUCUGGACUUAGAAAAAAAAUUAGUUUUUUUGGAAUUGGUUUGAGGAUUUUUUGAAAGAUGAAAAUUUGGACAAGUUUGAAUAAAAAUCAAACAUGUUUGAAUUUAGAAAACUCUUUAGAAAUGGGAUGGAUUUUUGGACAAGUUUGAGUAAAAUUAAAAAAAAGAUGAAUUUAGAAAACCCUUUAGAUGGAAUCCAAAUGGGCUGGAAGAUCAACAUAAAACCACAGAAUUUGCACACCAAAUAAUGCAUACAGUAUCUACGUUUAAUAAUCGUCGACCUUUUAUAAUUCUCGACUGACGGAAGAAAAAACGACGGAUGGACAAGAAACCAAAGAUACCCCUAUCGAAUAAAAAUGGACUAAAACACCAUUAAACAAGGAAGUCCCAUGAAAAGAGACCUGUCAGGUUGGAGGAGCAGAAUAAUUAGGCCUUAGCUCCAAACAGACUGGACAAUGAAGCACAUUUGUACUUCAUUUUCAUUAGAUACGAGAUUCUGUUAAAAAUAAGGGGACGCGUCUAAUAAAGGGUCGCGUGUAUUCAUAUAAAAAAGGGGUCGCGUGUAUUAAUACCACUUCACUGAUUUACAUAAAAUGAAUACCAAUUUAUAUAUGUCAGCAAGUACACAAUGGACAAGCCUUCUUGGAAGUUGAACAAAACAUAAGAGGUGCUGGUACCAUUUCUAAUCUAAGAAAGGAACAAAUAAGGACAUGUGUGGCAAGCAAUAAAAGAGAGGGCAUGCAAGGAAAGAAAUAAAAGAGAUUCCCAAAUAAAGAUCCGAUAAAUAUGGGGAUUUGCUGGGCUAUAUAAAAGAAAUAUAAGAAAGGACGCAUGGCAAGAAAUCCGAGGAGAUCCGAUAAGUAUAUAUGGGAUAUGUGCGCCAUAGGAGAAAUGAUGUUUCGUCAUGCAUUAAAAACAGCAAAUACUGUUUAUGUAUUAAAAAUACUCUCCAUGUAUUUUCUUUGAUAAAUAUGUACAUGAAAGUAUAUUCAAGAGUUGCCACAAAAAUAUUUGCAGACGCCAACAUAAAUUUUUCACACAGGUUAUAAAUAACAAGUCAAGUGACCCGUUAGCAGAGGGGUGGGAAUUAUAAGACAGACAAUGUUGACAAACAAAACUGGAUGAGCACAGAGGAGGUAUGACAAGUUCCAGAGCGAUAUUUCACGUCGGAGUGAAGCAGGACGAGUUCGGGACCACAACUUGAGGAUGAGCUUGAGGCCAUGGAUCGGAGCUCACGAUAGGAAUGUUGUUGAACAUGCCAUAAGUUGGUGAUGCUUGAACCGAAAACCGCCCAUGAUGCAUGCAUGUCUCCGUAUAGUGUGCUAAUGUAUCAUCGUAUGUUCUUGUCGUUUUCCUUUACCCACAAUAACACAUUAUUCUGCGCAUGUCAUGAAUAAAUGAAUUAUCGCCAGCCUGUUAUGUGCUUUUUAAAGCUACAUGCAAGGCGUGUUGAAAUAGAAGAGCUGGACUUGUGGAACAGAUUCCUAAAAUUCUAUACCACCUUUUUUAAUUAGAAGAGAAUGUGAUAUAUUUUUCUCCCGUUGCAACGCACGGGCCCUUUUGCUAGUUAAUAAUAAAUAAUAAUAAUAAUUUGAUUGAUUAAUUCCGUUUCUCUAUCCUUUUUCGCUGGGCCAGUUUGUUUUUGUUGGCCUUAUAAUAAAUAAAGAUGGGAGAUAGAUUGUGAGUCAUAAUAACAAAACCAUCCGCCGAUCGCCCGCCUUAUCCGUGCUUUGGACUUUUUACUUUUGCUCGUCUUUGCCUUUUUGUGCCCUGCAUCUCUCUACAUAGACAUGAUCCCAACCGCGGGAGCUUUUGCUUUUGUUCCUCUCUUUUCUGCUCGGAGCCUUGGUGAUCACGGCCUAUUUAGUUGGUUGUGGUUUCUCUCUCUCUCUCUCUCUCUCCUGAAACAAAUUAAACAUGCUCGAGGUGAGACGAUGCAUUUUCUUUAUCUUUUUUGUACAUAUAUCAACAGUACCAUACACAAAACACAUGCAUGCAUGUGUGGCAAUUCCUUGAAGUUGAAAUAGUGCUACUAAGCAAAAUGAGGAUACUAAUCGAGACCACAAGUAAGCAGGCUUUCCCGCGGAAAAUAAUACGUAACAAUAUAACAGCAUCUAUCUAGUUCCCCUAAGUGCUCUACUUCUCGAUUACUCUAGUUCCCUACUGAGUCCCCGAGGUCUGCUUCUCAAACUCCUCGACGUAUCUCGCAAAGUUGAGGAUGAUUCUCUUGCCUUCAGGGGUGAUGAUACUCUCUGGGUGAAACUGGACCCCCUGAAAGAGUUACAUCAUAUCUAUCAGUUAGUACCAUGACAGCCACGGCGUGAAGCAUGGAGUCAAGAAAUACCUGGAUAUGCUUGUACUUCUUGUGGCGGGCGGCCAUGAUAAGUCCAUCUUCAGUCCAUGCCGUGAUUUCCAGUUCGUCGUGUGGGAAGCUUUCCUUCUCAAUGACCAAGCUAUGAUAUCUUGCAGCGGUAAAAGGGCUGUCCAUGCAAGUGAUCGAGGAUCAUGUCAAAUCAAAAGGCUCACUUUGGACAAGUGCCAGACUGAACAAGGAAACAAACACAACUUAUUCCCUAAUAAAAAAGAAGCUACCCAAGACUAAAAUUCUAUCAUCAAUACUAACUGAAUAUGUUGAAAUUUUGACUUGCAUGGCACAUGCUACAGAAUUUCUCAAGACAAAAACAAGUGCUCUAAACAGGUAAACAGAGCCCAACAGCAUUCGUAAAUCCUAACUAUCAUAAAAAAAAACAGAAGCAAUCAUGAGAUGUGUGUAAUUUAAUGUUUGCAAUACCGGUGUCGGACUGUCAGUUGACUGUUAUGUAAUGUAAGCUAGAACCGAAAUAUCCAUGGGAUUUACUGAAGUGUUGAGAAAUCAUACUUUGACAAGCCCUCAAAUAUGGCCUUUCCUAGAACUUCGUCAUAGUGAACUGGGGAGCUUUUUCCAUGCAUCACACCAGAAGGAACGCGAAUAAUCUUCCCUGUAAGAAAAAAACAUCAGCAAGACAGAAGAACAGGUCAUAAAAAACCUUGUUUCCAUAGAUAUAAAUCUAACCUCCAAAGCCUCUCCAAUGCAUUGCAGACCCAUGCAAACUCCGAAUAUUGGGAUGGUUGGCCCGAGUUCCAGAACAGUCUGCAAUGAUAUACCUGAAUCUUGUGGUACGCCUAAAGAAAUAUGAAUGCAAUUGUUAAGUUCAGAAACUUAAAGCAGUUAUGAGAUUCAAGAAGAGAAACUUACUAGGCCCUGGAGAAAUAAGUAUUCCUCGUGGCUUCAUCCUAGAAGAGAUUUUUAAAAAGGAACAUCAGCAGCAAAGUUGUAAUAUAUAUAACCCCAUUAGAUGGAUCAGACAGAAAAUAAAUCGUACUUGAACAUGUGCCCAGAGAACUAUACCUCUUUACGUCCUCUAUGGUAAGUUCAUCAUUACGGUACACCUCAAAAUGUACUCCAAGCUCCCCCAUAUACUGUAUCAAACACUCAAUUUCAGCAGGACUUGUAUUCUCAUAGCAUGUGUUCAUGCCAUAUUAAUGUACACAAAUAAACUUAACCAUCUCAUAAGCAUGUGCUUCUGAAGAUUUUUUUCCCAUGGCCCAUAUUAUUCUAAUAUCUAAACAAAUUGUUCCUUUAUAUGCCCCUCAUCAAAAACAAUUGUUCCUUUAUAUGUUGUAUCGCUCCUUAGUCCUUGCUACAUAUUUUCUUCAGCAAUUGUAAGAGACAACAUGCUCAAGACAUGCAAACACAAUUUUUUUACUAUAGCAAACACAUUAUUUCCAGGAAUGUUUUUUCACAACAAAAACUAAAUACAUAUCACUACCACUCAUGACUGUAUGCCUAUCAUGCUAACUUGGGUGACCUAAUCAAGAUAUACACAGAUAAUAUUUCCCAAUAAUAUACUUUUGUGGUCCCUGUUACAUAUUAAAAUAACCUUUAACAAGUCAAUUUUGUCUAAUUUAGCGAACCAGUUUAAAUGAUACUCCCUCUGUAAAGAAAUAUAAGAGUGUUUAGAUCACUAAAGUAGUGAUCUAAACGCUCUUAUAUUUGUUUACGGAGGGAGUACAUGCUAUACCGUUGUGUAAGUUUGUUCUGGUAGAAGAUUUUCUGUACCAUUCUAAAUGACAAAUACUUGAAAAAGAAGUCACCACUUGAAGAUAUUCCACUGAAUGCAUUCUUGAUUCUAAUUUGGACAUUCCAGACAAGGAGUGGUACACCGAAGGGGCACAUUGAGAAAUGGAAAAAUCUUUUAAUAGUUCCAAGGAACCAACUUUGUACUUGUAACUAAAUUUCCCUUGCGGCAUUGGUUACCAAUCAGUUAUCAUCUGUUUUCAACAAUUUGUAGGACAAGUACGUAGACAUUAACAGAAUGUGUAGUACAUUCAUGCUACUUUUCAAAUGUAGAAAUACAUUUAUGUAAGAUCUUCAAACAAUCACCUAUAAAAUCAUUUGAUCUUAGUGCAAAGAAUACAGGCGAAACAAAAGUAAAUUAUAACAGAAUCCAUGACUUUAACCACUACUUGUGAAACCAUAUACAUAUACCUGGCACAGGUUGUAGGUAAAGCUAUUGUAGUUGUCGAUAACGAUGAUGGGCUUCUUCACCGGUGCCGGUGCGGUCGACCCGGCGGCAGCGACCACCGGCUUCAUGGCCCUCCUACCAUUGAGGGCCAACAAGCCUUUCUCAGGACCUGCGGGGGGGUGAGGGAGGGGAUCCAAUACGGUAGACCCGCGUCAAAAUGGAGGCAAAAAACAUGGAGCGAUUCGUACGACGAGUCGCGGGAAGGCGCGCGAAACCGGUGGCGGGGGAUGUCGCCCCAGAGCACAACGCAGUGCCGGUGGUUGCCGGUGAAGAGGCCACGGCGAGGUGGGAGCAGGCCAUACCGGCGAGGAGGGGGAGGUGGGUUUUGUUUGUGGCAAGGAAGGGGUCAAGAACGGGGGAGAAUAGUGUGAGCUGCGUGCUUGGAUUCACUGGUUGGGGUCGUCGCGUCGCAGGACGACGGACGCCUCGAGACAGGGAAUGGGAGGAGCACGGCGCAGGAACUUCGGGGUAGGACGGAGGUGCGACAGACGGGCAGGUAGGGAGCGGUGCCGGCUAGCCUGGCGGCGAGCCGGCGAGCGGUAGUAGCGGGCGGCGCUGCGGCUAAGGUCGGAAGGAGAUGGGCUGGGUUGUGUUACUCUGGCUAGGCCGAAAGCAAAGGAAAUGGGCUGCUAGGCAGAGCUGUUGGGUUUUGGUUGUUCGGGCUCGGGCUUGCCCUUGCGUAAGGCCAUUGGACCGGGCUCUAGUCCAGUUGGGCUGUGGGGUUAUCCUGGAAUACACAAACAAGCAGAAAAUUUCAGAUGUUGACGGAGAUGAACGAGAUGUUGACAGCGCCGUAUGAACGGGAAGAGGUGAAAAAAGCUUUGUUUCAGAUGUUCCUUACAAAAUCACCGGGGCCGGACGGCUUCCCGGCGCACUUCUUCCAGAGACACUGGGAUGUUUGUGGCGUUUCUGUCACUGACGCUAUUCUUGGUAUUCUUCGGGGAGAGGAAAGUGCGGAAUGCAUUAAUGACACACUCCUGGUCCUAAUCCCGAAGGUAUCCAACCCAACACUUUUAUCUCAAUUUCGUCCCAUUAGUCUUUGUAAUGUAUUUUACAAAAUAGCAUCAAAGGUGUUGGCUAAUCGCUUGAAAGAGAUUUUGCCUGAAAUAGUUUCUGAGGAACAGUCGGCCUUUGUCCCGGGGAGGAUGAUCACGGACAAUAUUAUCUCGGCUUAUGAGUGCUUACAUUUUAUAAAGAGAAGUAGGGCGAAAAACAACAGCUACUGUGCACUCAAGUUGGACAUGAUGAAGGCAUACGACAUGGUUGAAUGGAGCUAUUUGAGGGCAAUGAUGGAGAAACUUGGCUUUGCUGCACCUUGGAUUUCUGUUGUUAUGAAUCUGGUGAGCUCUGUUUCUUUUUCUGUUAUGUUCAACGGAACUAAAUUAGAAGAGUUUAAGCCAUCUCGUGGAAUUCGGCAGGGAGAUCCUAUCUCUCCAUACCUUUUCUUGUUAGCAGCGGAGGGCCUUUCGUGCCUAUUGAAAUCUCAAAAUCAGUCAUCACAGCUCAGUGGAAUCAAGGUGGCCCCAUCGGCUCCGUCGGUGAACCAUCUUUUAUUCGCGGAUGACAGCCUGCUAUUUUUCAGGGCAAGUGUUAAUGGAGCGGAGGAGGUAUCAAACCUACUGGAAACAUAUUGUUUGGCAGCAGGACAGAGGGUGAAUAGAGAAAAAUCUUCUAUAUUUUUCAGUAAAGGCUGUCCACAGAUUGUUCGUGAUGCGGUGAAGGGGCAUUUGCAAGUACCAAAUGAAUCUUUAACUGACAAAUAUUUGGGUAUGCCCACUGAUGUAGGUCAUUCAAAAAAGGAUACUUUCAAAUAUAUAAGUGAUCGCAUCUGGGAUAAAGUCAAAGGAUGGAUGGGUAAGAUAUUAUUGGCAGGUGGCAAAGGUGUUUUGAUUAAAUCAGUUGCACAGGCGAUCCCGGUAUAUUCUAUGUCAUGUUUUAGGUUGCCACAGGGACUAUGCAAACAUAUUAACAGCAUUAUCAAGAAAUUUUGGUGGGGAUGUAAGCAAGGAAAAAUAAAACCUACAUGGGUUUCUUGGGAAGUGAUGACGAGACCCAAGUAUUUGGGAGGGCUAGGUUUCCGAGAUUUGGAACUUUUUAACCUUGCAUUAUUAUCACGACGGGCGUGGAGGUUGUUGCAGGAGCCUACAUCAUUGAGUGCUAGGAUUCUCAAGGCGAGCUACUAUCCAGAAGGGUCUAUUUUGCCGGCAGAACUUGGUUCCCGCCCCUCUCAAAUUUGGCGGGCAAUUCUUGACGGCAGAGAAAUCUUGAAACAAGGUAUCAUCAAGAGGAUUGGCAAUGGGCAAUCAACGGAUAUUUGGACAGAUAAUUGGCUACCAAAAGAAUCAUCACUAAGACCAAUUUUAUGUCAUGUGGCUGAUCCUCCAUCUAAAGUUCAGAGUUGUUAAUUCUAGCUACAGCACAAUGGAAUGUGAACUACAUCCGUAGUGUAUUUCUGCCUGUCGAUGUGGACACUAUUUUGAAAAUUCCGUUGUGCACACGGAAUAUGGAGGAUUUUUGGGCGUGGCACCCAGAUAGGAAGGGUGUUUUCUCUGUUAGCUCUACAUACAAAUUCAUUAUCAAAACCAAAAUGCAGCGGGAAGACUGGCUUGAAGGGAGAAGUGGUGCGUCGAAUAACUCAAGACAGGAGGAAGAUUGGACUACGCUUUGGAGGUUCUCGGUUCCAUCUAAAGUGAAAAUAUUCCUGUGGAGACUGGCACGCCACUCACUGCCGACAACAGAUGUGCUAAAGAAACGGAACAUGUCUACGGUUGAUGCAUGCCCUUUGUGUGGGAGGGAAGACUCUUGGAGACACGCACUAAUCAGUUGCACCAUGGCGCGUUGUAUUUGGGCCUUGUCAGAUUCAGAGGUGGUGCAGCGUAUGGGAGAUAAUCAGGAGCCGGGUGCCAAGAACUUUCUCUUCGACAUGCAGGAGUCGUUGAGCCAUGACCAGUUUACAACUAUGGUUGUUACCCUAUGGUCUAUCUGGUACACAAGACGAAAAACAGUCUAUGAAGCUAUUUUUCAGAGCCCAAGUCAAACAAAUUCAUUCAUUAACUCAUAUUUGAUGGAUUUGCGAGGACUGCAUAAACCAGCAACAAGCAGGGUUCCUGGUGCGAGCUCGGGUCCUAGGGUGGCAGAAGUCCAGAGGUGGCUGCCUCCGAUGGGGGACAAAGCAAAGAUCAAUGUCGACGGAGCUGUAGGUCGGCAUGGCCAUUGUGGAGUGGCAACAGCAGUAUGCAGGGAUAGCACCGGGCUUUACCUGGGCUCUUCUCUUGUUGUGUAUGCAGGUAUUAUUGACCCAACUCUUCUCAAAGUAUUUGCGUGUAGAGAAGCUCUUGCACUUGCAGAGGGCCUGGGAAUUCAGAUGAUGCACGUUGCUUCAGAUUGUGAGGAAGUGGUGAAGGACAUUAAGCAAGGGUCGGGAGGAUAUCAUGGUGCCAUCAUCCAGGAAAUAAUUGCUAGGAAAAAUGAUAUGAUUUCAUGUACUUUCACUCAUGAACGUAGAGUUUUUAAUUUCGAAGCGCAUAAUCUCGUCAAGUUUGGUUGUAAUUUAGGUGUAGGUCGUCAUGUUUGGUUGGGGUCUCCUCAUGACCAAAACAUUGUACCUUUAAUUAUUGAACAGUAAAGAAGGCGAGAUUUUUUUAAAAAAAAGCAGAAAAUUUCAGUGUGUCUGCAGUUCUUAUUUUUGAGCGUCAGUGUGUAUUCUGCAGUUAAACACUGGAUCGCUCGGUGGUUCAAUUCGGAUCCAACCACCACCGCCAUCCCAUUUGGCACGACCUGCGUCGGCUGCUGCCUGCAUGCAUGCGCCACGCGUGGAGGUGGAGCCGGCCAAUUUACCUACCCGCCAGUAGUUCUCGAUGCACAAACGGAUGCUGAUUCAGAUCUUUCUUCUUCCCAAUAAGUGGCCAUUAUUGGCUCCCGGAUGUUACUUUUGCGUUUGCAAACACCGGCGCGGUCGGCCGGACGCACGGCAUGUGGUGUCCUCCUCCUCCAUCGAUCGUACGUGCCCUACCACCAGCAUCAUCACCCGCAAGUUGAAUGAACUGAAACCACUUGACAAACGAAGGUUUCUCUAAAGGCGGGAGUCCAUUGAUGGGUUUGAUUGGCCCGUCCGCCCGCUUGGGUGUCGCGCCGUGGCAACCUUUCGUGCAUCACAGGGGAUGGUGCACCGGGUCGGCGUCGGCGGCGGCCGUCGUGUUAGAAUCCUGCUCCUUCCUUUGCUUUAUAGCAUCUUCAAUCAUACCCCCAAGAAGCCUCCCAAACCACUUUUUAAAAGCCGGCGGGCAAAAAACUCCCCACUCAAGCUCCUAAGUGCUUGUUUUUUAUCGGAUUUGAACAAAAAUAGCCCUGGUGACCUUAGCUAACACCCAGCCCACUAGGGCACUUGUAGCCGCUGGCACUACUUUUUGCAUGCCUAAAACCNNNNNNNNNNNNNNNNNNNNNNNNNNNNNNNNNNNNNNNNNNNNNNNNNNNNNNNNNNNNNNNNNNNNNNNNNNNNNNNNNNNNNNNNNNNNNNNNNNNNNNNNNNNNNNNNNNNNNNNNNNNNNNNNNNNNNNNNNNNNNNNNNNNNNNNNNNNNNNNNNNNNNNNNNNNNNNNNNNNNNNNNNNNNNNNNNNNNNNNNNNNNNNNNNNNNNNNNNUUUUUCUGUUAGGCCCACCCACAUGCGAAAAAGAAUCUGCUGCUACUUUUCCUCGCCUCUCUCCCUGCUCGCCACCCCGGCCGCGCUCGCCGCCCGCCUCCUGGCCGCUUUGCCUCCUCGCGCCGCUCUUGCCGUGCUCGCUGCUCGCCUCCUCGCGCCGCCCUGCCUCCUCGCCGCCCCGGCCGCGCUCGCUUCCUCCUCCGCUUCCUCUUCCCUCCAGCGCCCCCAUGGGCGCCGACGCGGCCCUAGUUCGGCUCGGUUCGCGCCCCGCGCGGCCAGCACGGCCCGGUGCUAAUCACCUCGACUUCUUGCAGCGCGCGGCGGCCGCGGCGCUUGACGCGUUCAAGGAAGGGAGCAGCGGCCGACCCGACGCCCGUGCGUGCCAACGGCGCCAAUCCUUGCUUCGAGCCCACGGCGCCACCUCUUCGACGGCGACGGCAUGGUGCACGCCAUCCGUAUCCGCAACGGCGCCGCCGAGUCCUACGCAUGCCGCUUCACUGAGACCGCGGGGCACCUGCGGCCUCGUCGUCCCGUCACACGACACCGGCUCCCGUGGACUAGGUGGUCGUGCAGGCCGCCUCCUACCGCAGCCUCGACGAGCGGCCGGGAGGCCGCGGCCUAGACGCUUAGGGGUGGACAUGGCUGGGAAAAUUUUCAUCCUCAGGCCAAAAUUUUUGCUAACAAUUCUUCAAGCGGCGAAAAAAAUUGCUUUUUGAAAGACUCAACGGCUGGAGAUGCUCUUAGUCAUUCUGCACCUCGCCGCCUUGCAAUUCCCCGACAACAAAAUCGUGGCUCACAGCCAAAGUUCGCCGGCAUAAUGUGUUCCCUAGCCAGCAGCGCUAGAUCUGGCUUUCGUUUCGCACAGGGAAUUUAGCCCAUCUAUCUGGCUUUGAACGCAGCUUUUCUACUUACGCAGCAGUGGCCGAGCUCCUAGAAGGCAGACUGCUCUCACGCAGGUUCCCAUCUCAUGGCACGAUUAGACGUCGACCUUGUCAUGGGACGAUGUGUAGUUCAUCUAUCGAAUACCGUCUCAAAUAUGUAUCACGUGACCAAGACUGGAUUAGACGAUACGUAAUUAUAUUAUGUAAAAAAGUCAUCUCCAACACAGACCCUCACUUACCUGUUGGGUAAUCAUUCAAUAAAGUCUUCAAUGAGCCCCUCUAAAGUUCGAGGCGAAUGAACACAUUUUUAUUCGUCGUCUCCGGGCUAUAUAUACUCGCGGAACUCUGGUCAUUGAAUCAAAUUAACCUUAAUAAAUAACUAAUAAUUUCUCUUCUUUUGACUACCCCUUUUCUCAUUAAUAACAAAACUAAUUAUUUUGAUAUAUAAAAUAUUAAUUCAAAUGGCUUUUGCUAUAGUUAUCUUCUCAUCCAUGAUUUUUUAUUCCACUUCGCUCAGUUAUUUCUAUACGAAAUAACAAGUUCAUUCUAAUAACACUUAAAAAACCGAGCUAUACGGACGCACUUUGUCAUCCAACGCGAAUCCAUAUUUGUCUGCAAACGCGUCCAUGGGUUCAUUUUCCCAUAAAUCAGACAAAAAUUAGGGGCACUAUGCGGGAGCCCGGACCUCUGCCAUGUACGCGUCCGGCAAGUGGUCUCGCUCAAAACCACUCCCGCACAUGUUUCUCUCUCCCGCGUGCGACUGCUCAGUCGUCCUUUUGGAAAGAGGCACCACACUAGAGAUGCCGCAGGAGGAGCAUGGGCACAACCUGCGGCUCUUCGAGUAGCUGUAGUUCACGGACGGGCAAAUCAUCAGCGAACAAGAGAACGAUGAUGUCAUCACGACUAUGGUCAUGGAGAAUCCGGCCUUCUUGGGUGAGCAACGGGACUGUAACAGUCCAUGGCCGUGCUUGUGACAUCCGCCGCGAGCGAUGGCGGCUGCACAAUGACGCCCUGUUCAGGAAUAUUGAGACGGAGGUGGACACAGAGGCAACGCAGGUGAUCACGGACGGGGACGCUACUGCCUACGCCGGCAACUCCGUGUCGCUUGCGUCGCCCACCCCAUUCUUGCAGGGCGGCAAUGACCAUGUGGCUGGCCCGGCCACGUCCAUCGUGGCCAUUAGAGCAACUGCAACAUGCCGACCCAUUUCGUCCGUCCAUGUUUAUUUGGGUCGACGGCGACAAAAAUGCUGGGCCAAUGCGCCGACCCAUUUCCAAAACGCAUCCGCGCGGAACCAUUUCAGACCUAAUUUUGGGCCUGAAAUGCGUCAGCACGAACACGAAGCGGACGCGCGGCGCGUCCCCUCGGUGUCCGCCGUGGCCCUACUUGUCGGCCGGCAACCACCACCCGUGUCUUAUUAAAUGUCAUCACCUACCUCGGGGCCCGCCUGGCAGUGGGUGGAAGGUCCGCCCGUCCUUUUUAAUGGAAGCGUGCGGCUGGGCCGACCUCAUCCACUUUCAACACCCACCCACAUCCGGUCACGCGGUGCUCCCUCACCGGCGACCAGAAACCCUAGCAAGCCCAAACCCUAGCCACUAUGGGGUUUUUUAAUGGGAAGGGGAAGGGGAAGCUCAGCGCCAGCGCGAGCUCUUCCCGCCGGCUUCCUCCGUGGUCGUCGCCUAUUAGAUGUGGCUCGCCACCGGAGCGGGACUGUCUAUACAUACCAGUCCAUCGCAUGGUGGCACUCGCAGUACCACAGGCCACUAUAGUAUCCGGAUGUCAGCCUGCCGCACGGUUGGCAUCUGGAUGCGCAUCGGAUCCCCACUCUGGCAGUGCGGUGCACAACGCGGGUGCACGCCGAGGAGGUUGGCGUCACGAGGCCCUCACUCUGGAGCAGCAGGCGAUGCGUGCCGAUGCGCCAGACUCCCCCAACUGGGAGCGCUUGUUCGUGCUAGAGCACGAGGAGGAGCGCCGCCGGGGCGUCCACAUUGACCACGACGUUCCUUCGCCGUCGCGCGGGGUUCUGUCGGAGGAGGAGGAUGAAAAGGCGGCGUACCAAGCCGCCCUCGAGCUAGCCCUGCAGCACGCGCCGGAGGCGAGCAGGAUCGAGGAGGAGGCCCAAUGGGAAGGGCUGGAGCACACCCUCGCCUUGUUGGUUGCGGGGGACUCCACCCAUGCCCCACUCUUAGUCCCGCCUUCGCCACCGCCACUGUUGCAGCUGCCCAACGUCGAGCCUAAGGCCGAGGCGGAUCCCACGCCGACUCGGAAGCGCUCGCUGCCCCCCGCCCACUUGGCCGGAGGAGUCCUUCACGUGGCCCGUCGAGCUCCGCGAGUGGGUGAGCACGCCUCCAGUCCACUCGACAUCAGAGGAGGAGGCGGCCCACCUUGAGUGCUGGAAGGCACUUUGGCUCGCCGAGGAGGAGGUCGAUGGCCAGCGGCAGAGGCACUGGGAGCAGAAGGAGGAGGCCUUGCGCCUUGAGGAGGAGGAGGAGGAGCACACCCGGCGAGCCGCAAUGUCACCGCCGCAGCAGACACCGGAGGAGGCUGCCAUGGCAGCCUACCAAGCCAGUGGCGGAGCCAAGGGGGUGCGAGCAGGGGCCUGCCCCCCCCUAACAAUCAACGACUUCUAUUAUACCUAGGUGUAUUUAGCGAUAAAACUUGAUUAAUGAAUGUACUUGGCCCCCCUUAAUAACUCAAACAUGUAGUAAAAUCUGGAGAAGGGUAAAAGCCCAUAAUAAAGCCCAAUAUGGUCACGACGUCCGCUCCUCUCCUAGUACUAGUUGCUCCUGGCGAUCCCUAAAAAAACAAAACUAAUAGCCCAUGGCGUUAUUUACCCUAAAAAAAUGAUUAGGACCUGAAGUGAUUUGAGGCGAAGCGCUGGCGGCUGCGGCUGCCUCCUGCCCUCCCUGGCCAUGAUCAGAUUUUUUUUUUCGAAACGGAGGCAAAAGAUUUGCCUCAUCGAUUAAUUAAGCAGAAGAGAAUUGCCGAGUUAAUUAAUGGAAAACCAGGCGAAAACCGAUACAGGCCAACCACACGUAGACUACUCUCAGGGCUUCGAACCUGACAACCAAACCCAACACCUAAUGACCACCAAUACAUCGCAAAGACACCCUAACAAGAGUAACUCGGCCGAAGACCACGGGCACACCCAAAUCAACGAAGACAAGUCAAGCCAUAAGGACAACCCAAUAGACUGAUAACCAUCCAUCAAGUAGUUGCGGACGCCUUUUCUAUGACGCCACUCUUCUUUCCUUUGCUCGUGAGAGCCUCCUCCACAAUCGCCUUGCCAGAUCCAGGGCUCAUCCUCUCCAAACGUUUGAGCAAGCUGUGAAGCUCUAUCUAAAAGAGAAUCUCAUUGACCUUGUCACGCAUAGAAACCUGCCCAACAAUCACGUGCGAGUGGGUGCCCGCAACAUCGGAGCCUCCACGCUCCACACGGGCGAGCUGUUGGUUGGGCUCAGAAGGAUCGGGCGCCAAUGUACCAACCGCCUCAACAUCAUCAGUCACAGGUAUCACUGACACGAUGGACUCAGGCGUCUCCACUUGCUCAGAGUUAGGUGCCAACACACAUGUCUCAUCAACCUCUCCACUCAAAGACGCCACAUGCCCAAUGGCCAUAGAUGAGGCAGUGAUAGAACCAACCAAGUCUCCAUUGUUCACAAAGGCGGGCGACUGAGGUAGCGAGGGUGUCAUGGCCACCACCAAGGACUCCAAUGAGCCCAGCUCCAUCGGUAACACCAUAGAUGAUUCCCCACAAAGCUCCUGCAACUCAGGCAUAAUCUGCAUAACUGGAGCCACAACCUCGGAGGUGACCCCACUCACCGGGGAAGUCGGCGUCACAUGUAGAGCACGAGGAGAAAAAUCUCCGAAGAGGCAUUCAGCCUCCUCAAUGGAACCAAUCGGGAGCUCAGGCAACAAAGGCACAACCGACACAACCUCAAGUUUGGCAAGUGUGUCGUGAAGCUCAGUGCAAAACAACUCAAUCUUUUGAAGGAGCUCCGUACGAAGCAAGGCAAGCUGGAAUUCAAAAGUAGAGUCCAAAAAGACACUGACAUUGGAAUCCUUACAACAUCCAGAUUGGGACCUUGGCGGCACCGACACACGCAACGACGAACGGCCCACGACCUCUGCCCAACUCCUAGUCAGCGAAGUACAAGCCUGGACGGACGGGGAGCGGCUCGGCUGGCAUGGAGCGCGAGUGACCGAAGAGCCAACGCGAGCGACUGGAGAGCAAUCUCGAGCAACCGGAGAGCGAUCUGGAGCAACCGGAGAGCGAGCACAACAGAAUCUCUCCCUAUGACCAGGGCGACGACAACGAUGAACAAUCUUGGUUAGCAUCACUACUCCCGCCAGAUCAGAUUACCAUGAUCAGAUUUGAGUCCGAUUAAAUCAACCUGGCUCCGCGAUGAACAAUCUUGCAGACUACUCCCGCCAGUUCUCCAGCGGCCCAGUCAACUAUCAAGGUUAGCAUCACUAAUACCGUCUGCUAAUCUUUCUCGACCCUCAUCUACGCGCGUCGAAAUUCUAUAUCCAGUUUUACUUAUUUUAAUGGUGAUUUACAAUGGUAGUUCAUUUAAAAUUUCUUUUGAUAGUUUGAUCUGCUAAGUGGUUACGAAAGGUAUUCGCAAAACUGAAAAAGGGUUAUGGAAAGAAAAGCACCGUCAAACAUCACAAUGAUUAAUCUAAGUUUUAAGCAUGUUGUAUUGAGUUCCCAACCUAAUGAUAUUGUUAACGGGGCUAAUGUGCAAGUUGCCACCCCGAUUCAAAUCGCGGAUGACUUGUUCAGAAUUGCAAGACAAUCUAAAUUGAAAAGGGAAAUAUUUAGAAAUGAGGUUAUCUUCUGAUGAUUUUUUAAUAAUUUUUAUUUUAUUGGCAAGUGCAGGAGAAAUUUAGACUAAUAUGAUAUUACGGUACAUGUUUUUUCCGCACAUAACUUUUUUAGUUUAUCAACUUUGCUUGGCCUCCCUGUACCCAAAUCCUGGCUCCGCCCUUGUACCAAGCGGCGUUCAGGUGGGCUGGGCCGCCUCCCAUCUUCAUCGACCUCACCAGCGGCAAUGGCGACGACAAGGGCAAGGCGGAUGUCUAGGGCAGCGUGCGGGCGCGGAUUUUUUAUGUUCUAAUUAAUGUUUAAUUAUGUUCUAAGUGGACUUUGGCCGGUGGUUGACCGGCCACUUAUGUUUAAUUAAGUUUCUAUUAUGUUUAUGUGUGCCAUGUAUUUAUUGUUUUUGUUUUUUUUGGACGCGGGAAAAUUUGGGUGUGCCUCCCGUUGGACGCAUCUGCCAACCCAAAUGAAAAAGCGAACACGCCCAUCCGCCUGGCUGACCCAAACGGGCAAAAGCGCGCGUCCGUUUGAGUCGGUGCGUUGGAAUUUCUCUUACCUCGACAUGCAACAUCCAUGGCCAAGUGGCGGACUCCGACAAGGAAGAGCAGGAUGUGGGAGACAGACGUGAGCACGUGGAAUAUAGACGUCUCCAUGCCAGCGAAGAUUUGGACUAAUGACUUCAGCUAUGCAAAAAAAUGUCAUGUCCACUUUGUUUAAUGAAAUAUGUCGAUUUCUCAUUUUGGUCCAGUGUAAAUGUAAACUGUCCAGUUUGCAUUAAAUUUGUCAUGUUUAUUCAAGUCACCUUUGAAAUGCGGCUCAGAUGUUUAGGGCACCGCGUUGGAUAGCCGGCUCAUGUGUCUGUGUUCGCCGACAUGUCCAGACGCAUCCGUGUACGAAUACUAACUCUAAUUUGAGGAUGGUAUUGGACAUGCCCUCAGAGCAUCUACAAACCGGAGCUCCAUAUCCUCCCUAAAUGUUUGGGCGGCAUUCACGAUCAUUACCUGAACAACAAAUUGCCAUCCAAGUGAACUGCGCAUGGCCAACCCAAAUGUCUGGGCUUACUGGCACCCACAUACCCAGCCAAUAUAUGGGGCAGAUAUGGGGCAGAUCGGACGCACCCAGACGCCACCACCGCGCGGGACCGGUUCAAGCUGGCCCACGCUAUCCCCACCUUGUGCCCACAAAUACCCCACCUAGAUGACAAACCUUAGUCAAAUCCUAACCCCUAUUGAUCACACUGCUCCACUGCCCAUCUCCUCCCCUUCCUCUUCCCUCCUCUCCACCAUGGCCGACAUUGGAUCCGACAGUGAAUUCGACUCCAUCAGCUUGGCUGAGCUCGUCCAGGAGGACUCCGGCUCAUCCACGUUGGACGACGAGGAGCUCACGCUCCACAUUGCCCUCCUCCGCUCAUUGACGGAUACAUAAUUGAACAUCAUUUGAAAACCACAAUUUAUGAAAUUUGGUUUGAAAUCCAAAUCUAAAUUGAACAUAACAAGUGAUCCAAGCCAUUCAAAAUAAACAUAACAAAUCGCCAUAUCAAGUUCGUAUCCUCAUCGGUGAUGAGUAACUCAACAAGAGAGUUCAUCCUGCAAAAUAUGCACAUAAAAUUUCAACGGCAAUUAUUCAGACAUCACAAAAUUUGGUGAGGAAAUUCCUCGAACACCUUGUGGACGUCCGAAGGCGAUGCGAACAAGAGGAAGCGGUGGCUAGUCGAGUCAGGUCAGGGCGAGCUCUUUGAAAAAACCCGGUUCAAAUAGUGUUGUUUUUUGAAGUUAUUUUCGCAACCAAUUUUUGUUUUUCUGUCACGGCCUCCUCAAAUGUACAAACACCACAAAUUUUUGCAGCCACAUCACACAUUCGAGCAUCUUAGAUAGCAAAAAAGAAAGUUGAAUUAAUUUUCAAUUUUAUUUAAUUUUACUGUUCAUGGCACAAAUCACCACACUCGGUUGGGUUGACUAUAUGGAGUCCCAUUUUUUUCUACAAGCUGUUGGAACAGUUUUUUUAAGCCCAAUUUCAGUUAUACCGGUUUUUCUAUAGGGGAAAUGAGACUUUGUUUAGGAUGCUCUUGUAAGUGGUUAAAGUGUUGUAGAGACACCGUAGUGGUUGCGACUACCUAUGCUUAUGUUCCUAAUCACCUCCGCAGCAUCCGACGCGAUAGUUUAGACAACAUUGAUUUCAGUUUCAAUCAAAACUCCCUCCUCAUCCCUUGAUAAUGCAGCUGAUGUGAUCACAACAGAGCCGAUGGCAAUGUGCGAUGGACUUUUAUUGACAAAUUAUUUGGGAUUCAACCGGGUAGAAGCGGAAUCUGAUUCUCAAAUUGUUGUUGAAUCUCCUCCGGGCAAUCAAGUUGGUGGGAUGCAGUUUCAGCGAUUUUUGCAGAAUGCUUGGAUAUUUCUUCGAUGGUUGGGAAGGUUAACUUUAAACACUGUUUUUGGUCAGCUAAUAAAAAGGCACAUGUACUAGCUAAAUUUUCUUAUCUACUACCCCUAUAAAAGCACGAAAGGACGGAGAACCAAUUCAUCCCAUCCAUCAAAUCCUCUGAUCUGAUGGUCUACAUCGCUCCAUCAUUCUAAACGUGUUUUAUGUCUUAAUUACCUACCAUGCCAUUAACUGCUAACCUCUCCUACCCCUUUUCAUCACAAGAAAAAAGAAAACUGCUGCCUCCCGCUAUCCUCUCCCGAACACGCCGCCGCCCCGGCAGUUUGCCGCCCGUCACCACCCCGCGCCUCGCACGCCGCCUCUUCUCUGUUUCCCAUCCACGACUUGACGCGCCGGCGGAUCGGGAGGCAAAGAUUUUCCUUGUUUCUCUUCGCAACCGACCGCUUCCACCUGCAGCCAUUGCCAUCCCACGACGCCCCGUUGUGCCCUGCAUCUCGCCAUCGUCGAUGAGGCCCCCUGCAGGCACUGCCAAGCCGCGACGGCUCGCCAUGCUCUGCAUCUCGUGGCGACCCACAUCUGGCGCACCGUCCGUCUCACGGCGUCCCCCAUCUCGCCGCUCCAGCGAUGCCCUGCAUCCACCCGCUGCUCCCCGGCCACUUGAAGGUCCCCCGAUCCCCCCUCAUGUGAUAUCUAAUUUCAGGUUUUGUGAAGCCAUUAUCAGCUAGGGAUUGGAUAGCAGAAGCAUGACGUGUAUAAGAUCUGAACAUUGAAGACUUGCAAUGCAGCUCAAUGGUAUGCCUUCCUCAGUUCCUUAUAAUUGAAGCCUAAAUCCUAAACUGUUUUUUUAUACAAGCCUAAAUGUUCUCACGUGUUACUGCUUUUGUACAAGACAGCAUACGUACAACGUCUACAAAAGUAUUUUUGGACUGUUUUGUGUGCAUCGGGCAACACAUACAUUAAGCUGUUGCCAUUGUCCAUCAUCUCCUAAACUCUAUUCUAGGAAGCAUGGUUUCGUUUUAUAUAUAAGUAUGUUACCUUCUGUACAAUGUUGGUGAUUUGUCCAUGGAAAUAUUUAAUUAAACAGUGUUUAUCUUCUGCAUCUUUUUUUAUCUUUUUACCACGACAGGGAUGGAGCUCUCAGCGAUGUGGAGUUCAAUGUCUUUCAGGUUGUUCUAUACAGUGUUAUUAGUGUUUUAGUAUAUACUUAUUUGCAUAAGAAGUUUGCUUAUGUUAGUGAUUCCUCUCGGCAAAGGAAAUAUUCUGCCUUCAAUACAACAAAUAAAUUCAGUAUUCAUGCGCUAAAUGAAAAUCGUUAGUUCAUUAUUACUACAUUAUUACCAGCUAUUGAUUUUGUAAUAUUUAUUAAUUAGUAGUGCCUCACUACGAUGAACAUGUAUUUUGUUCUCCGCAAAAGAAGGAUUUUUCCGGCCUGUUAAUUUUUCAGAAAUUGUGACCUGCUGAAUCCUUUUUCCCUUACUGCACACAUGCACAUCAUUUUAAUUUCGUGUGCACUUCCCAACUUGUUAGUGCCAUCGUACCAUGUUUGUUAGUCAUGCUUUACUUAUUAUUUGGGCACCUUGGGGUAACAUCUUGCCAACGUUUCUUCAAAAUGGUGAAUACAUGUUGAAAAGCACUCGAAAUCAUAUUACCUUUCAUUUUGUUGGAAGGAAAAAUCUUUAAAACUGGAUAUAUUUUUCUUUACCCUGGAAAAGCACCUGUUCAGCAGUUGAUUUUUCCAAAUGCAUGUCCUCGGUAUAGUAGUUUUGCAGGAUAUAAGACAUGAUGGAAGACAUGACAAGGCUCCCUGGCUUACAUGCUUGCCCCUGACUGUGAUGUUAAACGGACGGAGGGACAUUGCUUUGGAGCCAGCUCAUUCCUCAUUCUGGAAGUGUGCACUGGUGUAAGAACGCUGGCACUUAAAACUAUCCUUAAUUUGUUUAUAUCUUUGUAAAGCACUUAUAAUGCUUGAGUUAUCAUGUUAGUCACAUAAAACAAUACGCACUUGCACUUUCAGGCAAACCUAGACUUGAUUGCCAGUUGCUCUACUCUAGGUGUUGGUUUAAUACUAAUACCGUGUCUCCAAACUUUAACCGUGGAAAUUAUAUGGCUCAUGUAAGUUCUAAUACUUUCAUAUUCAAGUUUAGCAAAGUGACGUACUAUUUUCUAAUGUAUGUGAGGAUAUAUGGCGCUUUAUUGCCUGGCAGGCUCAAUUUUGAUGACACAAUUAGAGUAAGUACUUGGAGAAAAUUUUAUUAUUUAUGAUAUCUUUUUUAAGAGGUUUUAUUGCCAAUGAAGUCCAAAGGUAGAGCUGAAAAUUAUCAUGCUUAAGAAUUUAUGUGACUUCUAUAAUAGUGUUUGUCGUACCAGCAUCUCUUUUACAGAUCAAACAUAUUUUCUGUAGUAUCCUAGCUUCAAACUAUUUCCUAGUGCUCUUUUGUAAAUUGUGGUGAUGCAUGUCGUAGUACUCAGGCAGUCUGAUAAUUUAUUAUUUCAUCUCUUUUUCGUAAUGAAAUGUAUUGGUUAAUCUUACAAAGUUGAUAUGCUCCUCACUUCAAGCACAAACUCCAUGCCCAUCGAGUUGCAUUUGUGUUCAGCCAACACACUGGAAAACUGAGAAACUUGUGCUCGAUCGCCUCCAAGAAGUAGAAAUUAGUGAACUAUCAGGAACUGAACAUGAACAUGAUUUUGUGCAACGGUUAUUCAAUUGGGCAACAUCCUUCAAACAAAUAAUUUUUAUCGUAAUAUAUUUCUAAUAUUUAAGUGUGCGUGAUGUAUUUUAGAUAGUACCGACCAUCUGAACUUCUUGUGUAGUUCCACUAAUAUUGUGUGCCCGAUUGUUAUUGAAAUUAACAAAAUAUUUAUAAAGUUAUAAUAAAAAUGUACAAUCUCCAAUAAUACAGUGGGUAUUAAUUUGUUAAGACGUGCGUUGCACGUGUUGCUUACUAGUCUUAUUGUAACAAGACUUUGUCUAGUUGGUUGAAUGAGCCCCCUGACAUUAUUGUUAUUGAGUUUGUGAACAAUGCACUCCUUGUUUCUUCUUAAUAAAGCUAGGCAUGAUGCGAUAAUCAUUUUUGAGCCCAGGCUCAUCUGCACCCACGUUGAGGAAAAAAUUCAAAACAAAUACUAGAAAAAUUUAAAAAAUUCAUUUUUUUUGCAUGGUAGAUAAUUUGAUGCGCGAGGUUCGUUACAUUUUUUAAAUAAUUUGGACAUUUGAGUAGCUCUCGGCAAAAAAGACAAAUUCGGGGUCUGUAAACAAGUUUACUGUUCAUGCAAUGUUCUGACCCAAUUUUUCUUUUUUGCUGAGAGCUAUUGAGAUGUCCAAAUGGAUUGAAAAUUGGGACACACCUCAGGCGACAAAUUUUCUACCAUGCAAAAAAAGGAGUUUUUUUGAAUUUGUUGUUAUUUUUUUUCGACCGGGUGCAGAUGAGUCUGGGCGCCGAAAUGCUGCACUCGCCAUGAUGGUCUUUUGUAAAAAAAAGUUUCAGUCUACCCGCAAAAGAAAAGUAAACCCAUUGGUUUCAGUCAGACAAUGUCACGUUUUUUUAGGGAUAGUGUCACGUUUUCUUGCAUGUCGGCCUGGGUGCCCGAUAUUUGCUAGGCCUUGUUGGGCCGUCAGAGCCCAUCAUACAAUAGUUACCUCCCCCUGUCGCUGAAAUGAAACCCUCAUUCCUCCUGUGUGCGGGUGCGCCAUGGCCUCGCCGCAGCAGUCGCCGCCGGCGAAGAAACCCCCACCACUCCCCCCGACGACCAUAAGCGCCCUGGACCUAGACACCCUGCGCGAGAUCUUCCUCUGCCUCCCCUCUCUCCCGAGCCUCGCCCGCGCCGCCCUCAGCUGCCGCACCUUCUUGGACGCCGUCCGUUCAUCGCCCGCUUUCCGCCGCCGGUUCCGUGCGCUCCACCCACCCCCGCUCCUAGGCCACUUCCUCACCACCCAAGACACCACCAUCCCCACCUUCGUGCCCCUCCGCAGCCGCUCCGACCCGGACAUAGCGGCGGCGGUACGCGGCGCCGAUUUCUUCCUCACCCGCCUCCCAGUCCUCGAAGACGGCGCCGUGCCCGUUCCUGCACCCGUCUCCGCCCCCGAAGACAACGGGGAUGGCGUGUCCAUUCCUUUCCCCGCCCCCGCACCCGAAGACGACGGCGAGGAUGCCGUCUCCGGCUCUGAAGACGACGACGAGGAUCCCAUCCCCGACCCCGAGUGGUCAAUCGACGACUGCCGCGACGGAUUCGUCGUUCUCCACAACUGGAGCACUCAGCAGAUCGCCGUCUACAACCCGCUCGCCCGGACCCUGGACCUCUUCCCCCUGCCGCCCCGCCGGGAGGACUGCGAGGGCCAGUAUUCUGAUUACUACAUCCUCGCCGAGGAAGAAGAAGAAGACUACUUGCCGUAUCGCGUCGUGUGCGUCUGGCACAGCGAACGCGGGGCGCGCGCCAUGGUUUUAUCAUCGGACACCAGCAAGUGGCAGAUUUUCCCAUGGGUAGACAUUGAUGGGCUCUGGCCUCAAACUGGUAAGCUGGUGAAUGGCUGCAUCUAUUGGACCAUUGGGAUGAAUGAUGCCCGUGUGCUUAACACUGCUACAAUGCAAUUCUCUCGGAUGGAUAAGCCGCCACGCAGGAGAGGGAAUGAGAUAUUGACGGCUGGUAAGACCAAGGAUGGAAGACUCUGUGUGGUCUGCGCACCUUUGGGGCCACUGACAUUUGAAUCCGUGCUUGCUGUUUGGAUUCGGAGAGCCGAUGAUGAUGGCGUCGAGAGGUGGAUGUUGGAUAAGUCACUCCCCUUGCAGGAGAUAGCUGGAAUCGUUCGGUGUGAAUUCAAGGAAGACAAUGUUAAAUAUCAAGUGACUGUUAGGACGAUUAUCGAUGGAUUUGUGUACUUCUCUGCUUAUUGUGGGGUGUGGCAGCAUCAUCAUUCGACACUCUGGCUCCUAUCAUUCUGCUUGGAAACAGCGGCGCUGAACAAGCUUGGGCGUAUCCUUAGUGGUGUUUCCUAUCCCUACAUCAUGCCGUGGCCUCGUUCUUUGGUUGGUACACAGCAAGGUGACUAAGCCCUCGGCUCAAGGUUGAUUGACUAGGAGGAUCAAAUUUUGUUACUAAGCUUUAUUUAUCUUGAAGUUAUGAACUGUUGUUUUGCCAUGGUAAUUUGAUUUACUCGUCUGAAAAAGAAUAAAUCAAGAUGCCGAGGAUCUGUUGAGAAUUGUCAAUCAUUUGCAUACCUUUGAACAUACUAGCAAUCAUACUCCUACUCUAUGCAUACUGGAAAUGCCUAUAAGAUAUUUUCAAAUUAUCUUCAAGAAAAAAAAGGAGUAAUUUUAUUUGCUAGAGAUUCCCUCAGAGUAGCUACAGAUAUCAUAUGAGAAUGUAACAAGUUUCAUAUAUCCAAAUAGCUAGAGAUAUUUUGUGGUGAUCAGUAAGAUAUCUACAUUAUCAAAUGGAACUAACUUGUUUCUCAUUUUACUUCUGUUAGCAAGGUUACAUAGGUUCUCUUGUUCAUCACGCACAUACAUUACAAAAAUAAUACAUCAAAUAGCUGGCUGUCCUAUGUAGAAAAUGGUUUGUAGUGUAUUUUUUUUGCAGGUGGACGUCAUUUGUUUUUUAAUACUCCCUCCAUUUCCUUAUACAAGGUCUAGCAAUAUAUCAACUUAUACCAGUGCAGGAGUAGAAAGAUUCGUAGUGUGAUUGUUAAUAGACAUAUUGGUCCUAGCAUUAUAACACUAACACACUCUGCACUAGUAGACAAUUGUACUAGGUGAAAUUAGCUAGAUUUUUCUUGGCAUUACUUAUUUCAAGUUUGUGUGCCUCAAUAGGAAUACAUCUUUGUGAUGCAACUUGGCUGUUGGGAGUAUAUGUUAUCUUUAUACUUUUCCUGAUUGCAUCGUUUCACAAAUAGACCCGGAAAUCGGGAAAGAUGGUCAGUUAUUUCUUCAGCACCUUAGAAGUUACAAUGUCAUCUCUUGCUGCCAUUUCUUAUUUUUGGAUAAAACAACUUACACAUACAUUCCAUUUGGUGAGGCUGAGGACAGAUUUUAAAAGAUUUUGAGCUAUAUCGCUUAUAUUUUUCUUAGCUAUAGCUGAUACUACUAUCUUUGCCAUCUCUGUGAGUAAAAUCACUAUCUGCCCACUCGUACCAAGCUUCAAAGAUUUACUGAGUUUAAAUGUUCUGCAAAUCAAGAUGUAGCUGCCCUACUGCACAAGUAUCUUUAGCUAAAUUUUAUUUUAUGGCCUUCUUGAUUAUGUUGACAUGAUAGCCUAGCAACCUGGAGCAAUUCUAGCUUUAGCAGGCAGAGUGAGAAACUGGGAACUAAUUCUCUGAUAUAGCAGGCAGCAGAAAGUAAAAGUCAAUGUCAAGCUAGUUUUUGCAUAACCAUCUUAUCCAACGUGGUCUGAUUGAAUUGAUUUCAUUUUACAGCAAACUAGCUUAUCCAGUUAAAGACACACAAUUCUCUUGCGUGCUCUUGAAUUGAAGUGAUGUCUGCUCAUUAAGCUGCAUAAUGUGACUCCUCAAGGCAAAGGUGUAGAAGAAGAAACAUUUGUGCCGUUUGUACUGGCAACAUGGUUGGUUAAAACUAGGGAUCUUGACUGGGGAAUACCAAGGAAGCGGGGCGACAAGUUUGCAAGCAGGGCUUCAUCAAUAUGCAAGAAUUGUUGGCUCACACGACAAAUCGUAACUAUCUGCAGUUAGAACUUGCAAUGUCUUGUCAGAACUUCCAUAGAGCUCUUAAGGUGCGGAGUGACUGCCUAUCAGUCUAGGGAAUGAAACUCUGAACGAUCACGCUGUUCAUGCAUUGAAACAGGUUCUGUAUAACAAUUAGAGAAGAAACGAUCUGAAUUUGCCAUUGUUGUCAGUCUUUCUUACCACGCGGCUAGUACCUAUGCGUGGAAUUUUUGCGGCGUAUUUCUAUGUGAAACAAAACGAAUGCAAAAUUUGAUGAAGACCCAGACAAAGUAUCAAUAUGUUUCAGAUAGAUGCAAACAAAAAAAAAA